CAACUUAGCAUAAUUAAACAUUUAGGUAUGGAAAUCAAAUCACAAUUUGAGUAGAUAAACGCGUCGCUUGAAAAUGUGAUAAGUAAGAAAAUUGCCCACAUUUGAGUAGCGACAGGUGGUGAUGCAUUUCCCAACGAGAGAAAACCAAGCUCUUUGCCAGUAUGGAUUUAUGUAAAGGACAACAAAAAUUGUCAACAACACAACUACAUAAGAAACCAAAAAGCUCACACAAAAAUCAUAAGUAUCUAUCAAACCAUCUUCUCCUUUAUCUUCUGAUACAGUUGAUAUCGUUGAUGGUGAAUCAGUUUUGGAACAACUUUUAUGCAGUAUAGGUCCACAAAGAAAAGGGUUUCCUUCAUAACUGUUUUCAAUAAAGGUCCCAAAUUGAGCUUUUGGUUCGGGAAUACUACCUGACAAGUUGUUGUAUGCCACGCUGAAAACCUCCAAAGAGUUCAACUCUACCAACUGAUUGGGGAUUUCGCCACUCAAGUUGUUGUAAGAAAGGUCCAAACUCUCAAUUUGAUGAAGUUUUGAGAAUGACGAGGGUAUAACUCCGGUCAACUUAUUGUGUGAAAGGUUUAAAGAAUAGAUUUCACUCAAGUUCCCUAAUUCUGGUGGGAUAUGACCAGUUAAGUUGUUGCAAGAUAAAUCAAUCCCGGUCAUAUAUGAAAGGAUGUUGCCCUCGUACAAAAAGAGCCCACUCUUUGUUGUGAACUCUAUUACUUCUUCUAAGUAGCUAUCAGGAUAGUAAGAAUCCAUUCCCAAAUUUAGUGUUGUUUCAUCCUCUUCUAUAGAUGGCAAAUAGAACCCAGUUUCUAGACUCUCUCUCUCUUUCAGUGGAAGAGAUAAAUUUCCCAAACAAGAAGGUAUAGGACCAAAAAACAUAUUUUGAGAAAGAUCUAUGAUGCUUAAAGAAUGCAACUUGCAUAACUGAAUUGGAACUUUACCGUGAAAAUGAUUAUCUUUCAAGAGAAGAACACUCAAAGAAGAAAAUGUGUCAAUCCAUUUUGGAAUAUUACCUGUCAAAUUGUUUCCUCUAAGAUCUAAAGUCACUAGAGAGGAGCUAUUAUAAAAAGCAAGUGAUAGUGGACCUCUCAGUCUAUUCCCGUGGAGGUGGACAUGCUCUAUGUUUGGUGGAUUAAAACAUGACGGUAUAGAUCCAGAUAAAUGAUUUUGGGAAAGAUCCAAAAAUUCCAACCUAUUCAACUUGCAAAAUUCCAUUGGAAUAGAACCCUCGAAACCGCUGUUGGACAAAGCUAAUCUCUCCAAAAACGAUGCAUUCCCUAUCCAUCUUGGGAGCUUUCCAUGCAACUUGUUGUUACUAAGAUCAAUUUCCCUUAUUGAAUUUGGAAACUCAAAAGUAGACAAAUCAACAUUUGUCAUCUCUCCUGAAAAAUUGUUUCCAUCCAAAUAUAAAUUCUGCACCCCAUUUGAGUUGAGAACCACAGGAACUACAUUUCCACUGAGCUUGUUAUUUGAUAGUCUCAAAAUGGUCAGUGAGCCUUUCGCGAUCAACUCUUCUGGUACUUUUCCAUACAAUUGAUUGUUUGAUAGAUCUAAAAAUGAUAAGUCCUUCAUGACACUUAAACAAAGUGGGAUAUUACCUUCAAAAGCAUUCUUGGAUAAGAAUAACCGCCACAAAUGUGGAAAAGUUGAACAUAUAGUAGUCGGAAUUUGACCUUGUAAUUUGUUUUCAGAUAUGUCAAUUGAAGAUACAUUAGAAAUAAGAGCUGACGAAAAUGAGAGAGGACCAGUAAAGGAAUUACCCAUCAAGAUGAGAACUUCUAACUUUGUGUUGUUUUCUAACAACCAAGUUGGGACUGUUCCGCUGAAAUUGUUAUGAGAAAGAUCCACAUAUCUCAAGUCAUAUUGGUAGUAAAGGAAGGUAGGAAGUUCAAGAUUGAGUUGUUGAGAUGUAAUGCACUUUGACAAACUGAUGCUGGUCAAUUGAAACUUUGGGACUGAGGUAUAAAAGGAAGGUUCCAUUACCAUCUUGUUUUCAUCACCGGAAAGGACUUUGAGGUUUGAAAGGUUUGCAAAUGGUGCGAAUGAUAGUGGAAUUUGAAAACGGUUUGCUGAAAUAUCUAACUCACGAAGAGAUGUCAAGUUACUGAAACAAUGAGGAAGCAUCCCCUCAAGUGCAUUCCCACUCACAUCCAACACUUCAAGGUUCCUUAGAUCACACCAUCCUGAAAAAUUUAUAAAUUCAUUGAAGAAAUUUUAAUUAAAUUUGAUCCUAUUAAACAUAAUAGGAGAUAUUAUAUCCCAGAAGGCUCAUAAAGAAGUCAAUUUGACCCAUAAAUUUAUUUACCAUGAUUAGGUAAGGGACCGAUAAGUCCACAAUCAUGUAAAGACAAUGUUUUAAGAGAAGCGAAUACUCCAAUGCUUUGCAAAAUGUUGGUGUUGAGAGUAGAUCCGCCAAAAUAUAAUUCCUCCACAUUACUCGACACAUUUAAUUCUAAAGGAUGAGAAGAGGUAUUAGAUGUUAAUCAAACGUAAGCUGUUUUGGAAAAGAAAAUAAUGACUUUCACUUACCUUGAGUAGCCAGAGUCAUGUUCAGAUAAUUGUAUUGUAGAUGAAAGGCUUUAACUGAUGAGAAAGCCUCCACUAAAUUUUGUAAUGGAAUGCUUCCAUCGGUGAAGCGUGAUAAAGAAACAAAACUUUCAAAUUUCUCAAUCCCUUAUUUUCUGUAAGUGAAAGAAAUAUAUAAAUAUUUAUUUUCAUCAAUAAAAUAAAAUUUUAAUAGAGAAUGUCCAAAUCUUAACAUAACUAUUUAUUCAUUUUAUUAAUUAAACUAAUCCCUUUUUUUUUUCUUCUUUUAGCAUUCUAAGAUAAAAUAUAAUUUCAAAAUAAUUUUUUUCUUGAUUCAUAUCAGAUUUAAAUAUGUUUGAAAUUAAUUUAGCAUUUAAUUCCUUAAUAUUAGUAUUUGGUACUAGUAAUGGAGUUUUUUAACUCUACAAGUGAAGUUAAAAAAUGGCCAGUAACCUAUUUCUUUUAAAUAUUUCUUUUUUUAAUAUUUUAUUAUACCAUAUAAUAUAUUUGUUAUUAUCUCAAUCCUACUUAUGAAGUUUAGAAUUUCAUUAAUAGUACCACCCCGAUUUUUUUUAAAAAACCAGAUUUUUUUUAAAAAAAAAUUUGAUAAAAGAAAAGAGUUUCAUUAAUAGUACUAAAUAUUUUCCCUUAAACUUAAUUUACUUUGUACUCAAUUAUAAAUGUUAAGAAAUAUUUUACAAUCUAAUAAAUAAAUUUUUAAUUAAAUUCUCCAUAUUAAAUCAAAAUUUUAAAGCACUAAAUCAUUGCCCUAAAAUUGUCAAAAUACAUCCUUUUGAAUUUUAAAAUUUAUGAAUUCCGAAACAGACUUUCAGCAUCUCAAAUUCUCUAUUUAAAUUUCACCUACAUAGUUUUUUUUUUUUUUUGGAAAUUCUUCAAAAUCUCAUUUAUUUAAAUCAUGGUUCUAUUAUAAGAAAGAAAAUUUUAAACUAAAAAAAUAUUAUUUUUAUUUAAAUCUAAUGUGCAUCUUUUUCUCUUUACAAAAAUAAAUUUUCAAAAUUCAAGUCUAACUAUUAAUAUUGUUGAAAUUAUUUUAUUAAAUCCAUGUUCAUUACGUCAUCUUUUAGUUACAUUGCUAACAAGUUCUUUUAUUUCAAAAUGUCAACACCAAUAAAUUAUUUUUGAAAAAUAACAAUGUUAAUAAUUGAACUUGGAUUUUGAAAUUUAAAAAAUAGAGGGAUCAAAUUCCCAAAAACAAAAAUACAAGAAUUAAAUUACAAAAAAGUUAAAUCACAUUUUUUUAAACCAAAAAGUUAAUAACAUGUGCAUUUUGAAAUUAAUAAAAAAGUUUGAAAAAAAAGUUUAAGCACCUCAAAAUGUAAGUUUAAAUUUCAUAAAAUUGAAGUUUUUUUUUUAAAUUAUUCAAAAUUGAAAUUUAUUUAUUUUUGGCCAAAAAAUGUCAUUUAUUUAACUCUAAUAUGUAUUUUUAUGUUUUAUACUAUUAAAAAUAUAUGAAAUUAAAAUAUAGUUAUAUUACAUAUUAUAAUAUUUUGCAAUCUAAUAAAUAAAUUUUUAAAUUAAAUUCUCCAUAUUAAAUCAAAAUUUUAAAGCACUAAAUCAUUGCCCUAAAAUUGUCAAAAUACAUCCUUUUGAAUUUUAAAAUUUAUAAAUUCCGAAAGAGACUUUCAGCUUCUCAAAUUCUCUAUUUAAAUUUCACCUACAUAGUUUUUUUUGGCAAUUCUUCAAAAUUUCAUUUAUUUAAAUCAUGGUUCUAUUAUAAAAUAGAAAAUUUUAAACUAAAAAAAAUAUUAUUUUUAUUUAAAUCUAAUGUGCAUAUUUUUCUCUUUACAAAAAUAAAUUUUCAAAAUUCAGGUCUAACUAUUAAUACUAUUGAAAUUAUUUUAUUAAAUCCAUGUUCAUUACGUCAUCUUUUAGUUACAUUGCUACCAAGGUUUUUUUAUUUCAAAAUGUCAACACCAAUAAAUUAAUUUUAAAAAAUAACAAUGUUAACAAUUGAACUUGGAUUUUAAAUUUUAAAAAAUAGAGGGAAAUUGACGAAAAUAGAAAUACAAGAAUUAAAUUACAAAUUCGUAAAGAGUACGUAGACCUAUCACAUUUUUUAAACCAAAAGGUUAAUAACAUGUGCAUUUUGAAAUUUAUAAAAAGUUUGGAAAAAAAAUUUUAAGCACCUCAAAAUGUAUGUUUAAAUUUCAUAAAAUUGAAGUUUUUUUUUAAAUUAUUCAAAAUUGACAUUUAUUUAUUUUUGGCCAAAAAAUGCCAUUUAAUUAACUCUAACGUGUAUUUUUAUGUUUUAUGCCAUUUAUUUUACUCAAUUUCAAAAUUCAAGUCUAAUUAUUAAUACUGUUAAAAUUGUUUUAUUAAAUCCAUUUUCAUUAUGUCAUUUUUUAGUUACAUUGCUACCAAAGUUUUUUUUAUUUUAAAAUGUCACACCAACUAAUUAUUUUUAAAAAAAAUUAACAAUUUUAACUAUUGAACUUGGAUUUUAAUUUUUUUUAAUAUUUUAUUAUACCAUAUAAUAUAUUUGUUAUUAUCUCAAUCCUACUUAUGAAGUUUAGAAUUUCAUUAAUAGUACCACCCCAAUUUUUUAAAAAAAACCAGAUUUUUUUUAAAAAAAAUUUGAUAAAAGAAAAUAAUUUUACCAAAUAUUUUCCCUUAAACUUAAUUUACUUUGUACUCAAUUAUAAAUGUUAAGAAAUAUUUUACAAUCUAAUAAAUAAAUUUUUUAAUUAAAUUCUCCAUAUUAAAUCAAAAUUUUAAAGCACUAAAUCAUUGCCCUAAAAUUGUCAAAAUACAUCCUUUUGAAUUUUAAAAUUUAUAAAUUUCGAAAGAGACUUUCAGCUUCUCAAAUUCUCUAUUUAAAUUUCACCUACAUAGUUUUUUUUGGCAAUUCUUCAAAAUCUCAUUUAUUUAAAUCAUGGUUCUAUUAUAAAAUAGAAAAUUUUAAACUAAAAAAAUAUUAUUUUAAUUUAAAUCUAAUGUGCAUAUUUUUAAGUUAAUAACAUGUGCAUUUUGAAAUUUAUAAAAAGUUUGGAAAAAAAAUUUUAAGCACCUCAAAAUGUAUGUUUAAAUUUCAUAAAAUUGAAGUUUUUUUUUAAAUUAUUCAAAAUUGACAUUUAUUUAUUUUUGGCCAAAAAAUGCCAUUUAAUUAACUCUAACGUGUAUUUUUAUGUUUUAUGCCAUUUAUUUUACUCAAUUUCAAAAUUCAAGUCUAAUUAUUAAUACUGUUAAAAUUGUUUUAUUAAAUCCAUUUUCAUUAUGUCAUUUUUUAGUUACAUUGCUACCAAAGUUUUUUUUAUUUCAAAAUGUCACACCAACUAAUUAUUUUUAAAAAAAAUUAACAAUUUUAACUAUUGAACUUGGAUUUUAAUUUUUUUUUUUAAAAAUAGAGGGACUAAAUUCCUAAAAAUAAAAGUAUAAGAAUUAAAUUACAAAUUUAUAAAGAGUAUGUAGACAUAUGUUAAUAACAUGUGCAUUUUGAAAUUUAUAAAAAGUUUGCGAUGGAAGUUUAAGCACCUCUAAAUGUAUGUUUAAAUUUCAUAAAAUUGAAGAUUUUUUUAAAUUAUUCAAAAUUCAUAUUUAUUUAUUUUUGGCAAAAAAAAAUGUGAUUUAUGUAACUCUAAUAUGUAUUUUUAUGUUUUAUACUAUUAAAAAAAUAUGAAAUUAAAAUAUAGUUAUAUUACAUAUUUUCUCAUAAAUAUAUGUUUUUAUUUAUUUGUAAUAUCAUUGUUUUUAUUGUUAUAAUUAUUUUUUAUCUCAUAAAAAUUAAAUAAAUUAUUUUAAAAAAUAUAUUUUUACAAACAAAAUAAUUAUAAACAUUAAUAUUUUAAAAUUAAGAAAAUUUUAAAGAAUUUUAAUUUCAAACUAAAGUUGAAACACAUUAUAAUGGAGGAUUUAGAAAAUGUUUCACCAAACUCAUAUUUUACUUUCAAGUAUGAUAUGAUAUAACUUUAUUAAUAUUUAUGACAAUAACGGUCAUUAUAAUAUCUGAGAUCAAAACUAAAUUUCUAAAUUUAAAAAAAAAAGGAAGUUUAAUUAAAUGAUACCUUGGUGGAUCACCAAAUCUUUCAAUUCAUUAUAUCCCAUAUAUAGUUCCCUUAAGUUGAUGAAUGCUUCCAAAUCUAGGAAAAAAAAAGCAACAAAUCAACUUCAUUAUAUUCUCUUAAAACAUUAUUAUAUUCUUUGUUAAAAAACUAAUAUUUUUACCUUUCGUAUCUAUUGAUCCUUUCAAUUGAUUGUAAUUUAUGCUCAAAGAUUUCAAAUUUGAAAGCUUGUUAAGGGAUGCAAAUACACUAGUAUUGAAGAGAUUGUAAUCUAAAUAAAGCACUUCCAAGUGGGUCAACUCCAAUUUUCUACCACCAUCUACAAAAGAUUUAUAUAAUUUCAUCACUAAAAUGAAUUGGCAUAAAAUUUAAUUAUAUGUAAGAAUUUAGGUAAUUGGUUAAAUAUAAAUGCAUACCUUUAAAGGAUUGAAAGCUUUCAAUUUGAUUCCAACGUAAAUCGAGUUUCUUCAAAUUUGUUAAAUUGCUCAAUCCUAUACAUAUCCAUGUCCAAUUCAAAAAAUCAUUAUGUUAAUAAUUUUAAUUUCUACUUAAUAUUUUAAUGAAAUAAAAAAAAAGUAUAUCUAAAACUUGAAGUGAAGAUGAAAAACCUCAAACGUGAAAUCUGAAUGCUCAAAUUUGAAACAAUUAAUUUUAAAAUGUUCUAGAAAGAAUUAUCAAGAAAAACAAAGUUAUAGCUUUAGUACCUUUAGUAUCUAAUGAGCCUUGCAGACGGUUGUUGUACAAAGUCAAAGACUUUAGGCUUGAAAGCCCCUGAGGAAAGGAAAUUGUGUUGUUCCGAAAGAGAUUAUUACUUAAAUCAAGUUCCUCUAAGUUUGUUAGCCUCCAUUGUGUUCCAUCUAUCAUUGGAAGAAAAUAAUUAGUAUAGUUAAUAUCAUUCAAUAUAUAAAUAGCUAGGAAAAAUGAUUGUUUGAGAAGGAAGAGCCAAUUUACAAGCUUUCCCAUGAAUUGAUAACUACAUUUUACAAGUAAAACUUAAUUGAUUCAACAUAUAAAUACUUUGUUUGAGAUACCUUCCUACUUAAUUUACUCAAUUUUGAAAUAUUGCAACAUUAACUGUCCCUUAAACAAAAAUUGGUUUUAAAGUAAAAAAGAAACAUAUAAAACCAGUCUACCUUUAAUAUGAAUUGACAUAUAAAUACUGUACUUAUACCUUGGUUUGAGAUGCUUUCAAUGUUGUUGUCACUUAAAUCCAAGUAUUUCAAGUUUGUCAAAUUAUUCAACCCUAAAAUUCAAUCCCAAAUAUUGAUUAGUUAUAUAUUCAUCGUAUGAUGAAAUCAAACUUGAAUAUACAUUGAUUUUUAAAGUUGAAAAGAAACAGGUAAAAUCAGUCUACCUUGAAUAUGAUCCAGCCUUCCUUUCAACUGAUUACGUCUCAAUCUUAAAGUCUUCAAGGAUGAAAGAUUUCUCAUAUGGAACAAAAUGCUAUUCUUCAAAGAAUUCCAACUUAAAUCAAGAGUUUCCAAGUUAUUGAGUCUUGAAAGCAAUUGAAAACCUGAUAUAUAUACAUAAUUACUUGUUAAUUUUUUCUUUCUUUCUUAGCUAUAUGAAAAUUUUACUAAAGCAAAAGUAGAAUUACAACGGAUAAAAAGAAUGGAAAACUAGGUACCAAGCCUAGAAGACCAUCCUCAAACUCCACUAUACAAAUAAAAACUAACACUAGACCAAACUUAAUUUACCUCUUAGAUGACCUGAUCCUUCAAAUUUGUUGCUUGAUAAAUUUAAAUACCGGAGAGAUGAAAGCUCACUUAAAGAUAACAAAAUGCUGUCAUUCAAGUAGUUUUCACUUAAGUCAAGGAUCUCCAAAUUACUCAAUGUGGAUGAUAGUUUUCCAAAGCCUGUAGAAGUGUUCUUUUAAAUAUAUACAAGCAGUUAGUAACUUUUCUUCAAUAAAAUAUAAGUAAUUGUAAAUUAUCAAUGGUGAGAAUAGUGGAAUAGUAAAAGAUGUAAUUAAGGAAAAAUUAAAGGCACGACCUUCAUUUUCAAGGUUACCACCCAUGGCAUUUCCCGACAAAUAAAGUCUCUUCAAUUCCUCAAAGGGAAGAAACAUAGAGGCAUUGAGAUACCAGGCAUUGAGAUUCCUAUUAUCCAUGUCGUAUUCCAUAUUGUAUAACCAUAUUGUAGAAUUAAGGGAGAGUUGUAUGAGUCUCCUAGUGGUGGUGUUACACUCAACUCUUUCCCAUUUACAACAAUCUGAACCCUUCACCUCAACCCAACUUUGCAAUUGAUUACCAUAAUUGAAGAAAGGCUUGAGAUGCAAGAGAGCGAUUCUCUCAUGCUCCAAACAAGCAUCAGUAGUACACCAACUGCAUCUUUCUAACACCAACAACAUUACUGCCAUCCUAAUAAACCAUAAGUACCAUUUCCACUCCAUCAUCAUCAUCAUCUUUCUGUUUUCACUUCUCUCUCAGCUAUAUGUUACUUUUUUUUAACUUCUAUAUGUAUAUAAUCUAAAGAAGCCUAAGCUUCUUAUUUAUAUACAAGCAGAACAUACUGCAUCCCACUAAUUCACUAUAAUAUAAAAAUAAUAUAUAAUUAAUUAAUUCCUCAAAAAUUGGAUCAAUCUAGGCUUCUUAUUUACAUAAAUUCCUUAUUGCAAAAACUCUAGGUGGAAAUUCAUUAGGAAAUGAUGAAAGGACUGCAAGAAUGCUUAUCAACCCUUGACUUUGGCAUUCAAUGCUAAAUUUAUUUUAAAAUUUCUUCAUGGAGACAAGAUGGGAUGACAAGAAUGAUAAGUUUUAAGUCAUUUAAGUUUAUCACUCAUAAAAAUAAGUCUUAACAUUCUAUUAAAGAAUUUAAGCAUGGCUCAACGUUGAUUUUAAAUCUAAUGUUGAUGUUAAUCUUGAAAAACGAAUGGCCAAAAAAAUAUGAAAAGUGAGAGGUGGACAUUAAAUCAUGUAGUUGGAGUUAUAAAAUACUUCAUGUGGUUUUCUUGUGAGUUUCAUUUAUACCCUUCUUACACUUAUACAAAGUUAAUCUUGACUUGGCUUUAUUAACGGAAAAUUUAGGUCUUCAUUUUUUGUUUUAUUCAUGGAAAUUUUUAUUCAUGGAAAUUUUACUUCUUUGAUUUUGGUUUUAUUAAUGGAAAUUUUAGGUUUUGAAAGUUUUUUUUUUCCCGGAAGAUUUUGUAAGUUUAAACCAAAUAUGAUUAUAUAAUUUUUACUACUUUCUUUUUAAUAUUUUAAAAACCAAUUAAAUAUUUAAGCAUAUUUUUUUUAGAAAAAUAUUUAAACAUAAAAUAUAUGAAUUUAUUUUAUAAUACAUUUUUACUUUUUUUAAUAUUUAUAUAUAUAGAAGGAUGAAAUUGUAAUUUUAUAUAGUAGAGUGGGAUGGGAUGGAACAAGGAAUUACCGUAACGGCUCCAUAGUCAUUGUCCAAUGGAAAAAAAAAUCCACCCAUCCCACCUUGCUUCCACUUUUCUAAAAAAAAAUCCACUCCAUUCUAAGUAGAUCGUUUCAAAAUUCAUCGGACAGUUCAGGAUUUGCUACCUCUACAUAAACCUCUCCAAACCUUUAAAUUCAUUUAAUUCGAAAUUUGAAAAAGACAUCGAUUUUUUUUAUAUGACUUAAAAUUUUACUUGAAUAUUUUUACAAUUAAUUAAUUAAAUUGGGUUAUUUUAAAAAGCCGCUCUUAACUAAUAGUCGAAAAAAAUUAAAGUUUCCAAUGUAAAAAAAAUUAGUUUUAUGGAAAAAUAAAGUCUUGAAAUAUUACUUUAGGUUUGGAAAUGUUGAACUUGAUAUUAACAUCUGAAAAUUGAUAGCGAAUCGACUUAUAUGUACAAAACUUAUAUUAACUAGAUUUUUAGUGAGUAAUAUGUAAAAAUAACAAGUGGGCAUAACAUUAGACAUAUGAUAAUAUGUUUGUCACACCAAAUCUUGGAGAUAGUAGAACUUAAUGAAUUUACAAAAUAUCAUUUAGUGAGGAUUGAAAUUUUAAAAUUUCAAAAAGCAUAAGAUCUAAAAUAUCAAAUUAAAGUCUAGGAAUUAAAUCUACAACUUCAAUAAAGUACAAAAACUAUAUGGUAGAAUUUAACCUUUAUAUAAUAAUUUCGUUAUGUGAACCACAACUCAAGUACAUUCCAUAAAUAACAUUAAAAAAUUGGUAUGUGUCUUCUUCUUUUUUUAAUAUUCAUUUUUUAACAUUAUAUACUACACCUCUACAAGACAUGUCUCACUCAUCUGAUCCUUCUUAUAGAGUUUAAAAACUCCACCUACUGUGUACUAAAUAUUAAUUAGUCCAAUUACUAUACUAUUCAUGAUUUAAGGAUAAAGAUAAAAUAUAAUAUUUGCUUAAAAAUCUCAAUUAUAUACAUUUGGUGACCCAUUAUGUUGUAAUAUAGCACCAUCUACGAAGUAGUUCGAGGAAAUUGUUAAGAAAAUAUUAUUACAUAUAUCAACAAUCACAUAAUUCAUUGCAUUAACUUUCAAAUGUUGACUAUUGACUUCUGCGUCAACCUUGAUCUUAUAUAGGCCCCCUAAUAAUUUAGGUUGUGUAAAUAAUCUCACAUUUAAUGCCUGAGAAAUUAUUAUAGAUGAAAUUAUAGUUUUAAUCCCUAUAUUUACUCACAUAAAUAAUGUUCCUCGAUCAAAUUAAGUGCUCUCAAUGAUUAAUACAAGAGCCUAUACAAGUCUCUUAAUUAUAUAAAGAUUUUAAGAUUUGCUAACCUAAUGAAGAUCAUUCACAAUCCCUUCUAAAAGAUAGCUAAAAUAGUUGAAUACAAUAUAAUAAUAACAACUAAGGCAAUAUGAGCUGUUGGCAAAUAAGGUAUUAAUGUUUCGAUCUGAUCCAACUUCCUCAAUCUAAGGGAUUAGAUAGGCUUGAUCCGAUCCUAUUUAACUUGAUCCUUCAAAUAAGUUUCUCCAAGUACUAUGAUAUUCAUUGAUGGACUUGAUAUAACCCACGAUAUCAACUCAACCCAAAGAUAUGGUUCAAUAAAUUGCCAAACUCCUAAAUGUGGGAAGUUGUUUAAUGUGCCUAUGUGCCGCAAUGGUAAAGGAUGUGGGCACUUCCUCACACACAUCGCAACAACUCUAAAUUUUUCAACAGAAAUGAAUAUAAUUUUUAACAGAAUGAUCAAUUAAUUUUUUUUAUCAAACAUACAUGUAACGUCUUAAAAUUUUAAUUUUGGGUAUUGUGAAUGUGUGACACAAAAUAUCUGUUUACUUUAGUGGUUAUGUGCUUUAGGUGUGUUUGGGAGGUCCUAAGUUCUAGCCAGAACUUGGGCAAAAUUUGGUAUUUUUAUGAAUAGACCUAUCUUUGGUCAGUAGGCUUUUAAGUAAAAGUUAGCAAAUAAUUAACAGAAUGGGUCUGCUGAUCUGAUGGAUAAGUGGAGUGUUAGAGUGUUGGAGGUCUUGUGUUCAAAUCUUGGCGUGGACAUUAUUUUUGCUCGUGCGUCCAGGAGAGUUUGAGAUGGACUAAAAAUCUGAGUAGUGGAUUUAGUGGGGAGUUUGAUGGAGAAAAAUAAGGGAUUGGGGUGGUUAUCAAAUAUUUUGUUCAUUUUUUUCUCUCUUUCUUUUUUUUUUACUUUCCCCAAAAUCCGUCCACUCUCUUGCCGUUAUUCUCUUCAUUGCUGCAGAAUUUUUGCUUUCUUUCACCCUUUAUCUUCUUGAUUUUUCUUUUCCCACUCUGCCUCGUGUCACUCCAUGUUUAUUUGCGAUCGUUUUGUAAGUUUUAGAUAAGUGAUUUGUCUCUGUUUGUUAACUUUCUUCUGAAGUGUUUUGUUUAUGCCAAAUAAGGAAGGAUUCAAUGGCUCGUAAUCACCAAUUGGAGUCUUAGUUUUUGUGGGAAUUCUUGUUCAUCAGUUGAAGGUAAGAUUUAGUCGCUUAUGGGUUAAAAUCUUGAUACGAGUUCGAUUUAGGAUCACGUUAUAUGAGAUUAAAUUGAUGUUAUUUUUUUAAUUAUAGGAUUUGGAGUGCUCGGGGACUGUUUUAGCAUCAAACAAAACUAGGUGUGUACCCGUAAUGCAAAAAUAAGGGAUUCGGUAAAAUGCUAAAAUUGCCUACUGUUUGGACAAAAGCAGUAGGCUGAAUUUAAAAAAUCACCAUAAAUUGUGAAAAUCAAAUUUUAUGCAAUAUAACUCCACACAGAAAUGGAUUUCCCUCAUAACUAUUUUCAAUAAAGGUCCCAAAUUGAGCUUUUGGUUCGGGAAUACUACCUGACAAGUUGUUGUAUGCCACGCUGAAAACCUCCAAAGAGUUCAACUCUACCAAUUGAUUGGGGAUUUCACCACUCAAGUUGUUGUAAGAAAGGUCCAAACUCUCAAUUUGAUGAAGUUUUGAGAAUGACGAGGGUAUAACUCCGGUCAACUUAUUGUGUGAAAGGUUUAAAGAAUGGAUUUCACUCAAGUUCCCUAAUUCUGGUGGGAUAUGACCAGUUAAGUUGUUGCAAGAUAAAUCAAUCCCAGUCAUAUAUGAAAGGAUAUCGCCCUUGUACGAAUAGAACCCACUCUUUGUUGUGAAUUCUAUUACUUCUUCUAAGUAGCUUGUAGGAUAGUAGGGAUUUAUAUCCCUUACCAAUUUUCUCAUUGCAAUGGAUGUUGAUUCAUCCCUUUCUAUAAAUGGAAGGUAGAGCUUAGUUGUUAGACUCUCUUUCUCUUUCAAUGGAAGAGAUAAAUUUCCCAAACAAGAAGGUAUAGGACCAGAAAACAUAUUUUGAGAAAGAUCUAUGAUGCUUAAAGAGUGCAACUUGCAUAACUGAACUGGAACUUCACCGUGAAAAUGAUUAUCUUUCAGAAGAAGAACACUCAAAGAAGAAAGUGUGUCAAUCCAUUUUGGAAUAUUACCUGUCAAAUUGUUUCCCCUAAGAUCUAAAGUCACUAGAGAAAAGCUAUUAUAAAAAGCAAGUGAUAGUGGACCUCUAAGUCUAUUUCCGUGGAGGUGGACAUGCUCUAUGUUUGGUGGAUUAAAACAUGACGGUAUAGAUCCAGAUAAAUGAUUUUGGGAAAGAUCCAAAAAGUCCAAGCUAUUCAACUUGCAAAAUUCCAUUGGAAUAAAACCCUCGAAACCAUUGUUGGACAAAACUAAUCUCUCCAAAAACGAUGCAUUCCCUAUCCAUCUUGGGAGCUUUCCAUGCAACUUGAUUAGGUAAGGGACCAAUAAGUCCACAAUCAUAUAAAGGCAGGGUUUUAAGAGAACUGAAUACUCCAAUGCAUUGUAAAAUGUUGGUGUUGAGAGUAGAAUAGUCAAGAUAUAUUUCCUCCACAUUGCUUGACACAUUUAAUUCUAAAGGAUGAGAAGAGGUAUUAGAUGUUAAUCGAACGUAAUCUGUUUUGGAAAAGAAAAUAAUGACUUUCACUUACCUUGAGUAGCCAGAGUCAUGUUCAGAUAACUGCCUUAUAGAUAAAAGGUUUUAACUGAUGAGAAAGCCUCCACUAACUUUUGUAAUGGAAUGCUUCCAUCGGUGAAAACUUGAUCAAGAUCAACAACUUUCAAAUUUCUGUAAGUGGAAGAAAUAAAUAAAUAUUUGUUUUCAUCAAUAAGAUAAAAGUUUAAUAGAGAAUGUACAAAUCUUAACAUAACUAUUCAUUCAUUUUAUUAAUUAAUAAACUAAUCCUUUUUUAGCAUUCUAAGAUAAAAUAAAAUUUCAAAAUAAUUUGAUCUUGAUUCAUAUCAGAUUUAAAUAUAUGAGCAUAUUCUUUUAAAAACUCAAAUAUGUUUGAAAUCAAUUUAGCAUUUAACCUUAAUGUUAGUUUUUGGUACUGGAAAUGAAGUUUUUUAACUCUACAAGUGAAGUUAAAAAAUGGCCAGUAACCUAUUUAUUUUUUAAUAUUUUACUAUACCAUAUAAGAUAUUUGUUAUUAUCUCAAUCCUACUUAUGAAGUUUAGAAUUUCAUUAGCCCUUAAACUAAAUUUACUUUGUACUCAAUUACAAAUGUUAAGAAAUAUUUUACAAUCUAAUAAAUAAAUUUUUUAAUUAAAUUCACCAUAUUAAAUAAAAAUUUUAAAGCACCUAAAAUUGUCAAAUACAUUCUUUUGAAUUUUAGAAUUUAUGAAUUCCGAAACAGACUUUCAGCAUCUCAAAUUCUCUAUUUAAAUUUCACCUACAUAGUUUUUCUAGAAAUUCUUCAAAACUUCAUUUAUUUAAAUCAAUGGUUCUAUUAUAAAAUAGAGAAUUUAAAACUAAAAAGAUAUUAUUUUUAUUUAAAUCUAAUAUGCAUAUUUUUCUCUUUACAAAAAAUAAAUUUUCAAAAUCCAGGUCUACUAUUAAUACUGUUGAAAUUAUUUUAUUAAAUCCAUAUUCAUUUCAUCAUCUUUUAAUUACAUUGUUAUCAAGUUCUUUUAUUUUAAAAAAAUAUCACACUUUUUAGUUGUUUACAGAAUCAUAAUGUUAAUUAGAGUGGAAUAUUUCAGAUUUCUGAUGAUGAGCAUAUUCUUGAGUAUUGCAGUAAAAAAAUGGGUGUGGAACUUAUUUGAACUUUGAAUAUAAACGAACGUGUCAAAAAUUUAAGUACAACGAAUUAUUAACAUGUAAAUGUAUAAUACGGUAUGCAAAAAUAAGAUAAUUGCUUGUUUUUUUAAUUGAAUUGUUAUAACACAUUAUACACAAUACAUUGUGAAUUAAAGCAUAACAUAAAGAAUUGCAUUGUUUGUGAGGUUUUAAAAUAUUCUAGUUUUAGAUUCAAUUUUCUAGUAUGUUUGGUUUAAUUUUACAUUAGAUUUCCUUUUCAGUAUGCACUAGUGAAUACUUGGCAGUCAAUUUAAUUUAAUUUAAAGAGAUAUUGCAUAUACAUAGAAGAAAAAAGAAAUAGAUGGUUGAAAAUGAUUAAACCAUAAGAUAAAAGAGCUUUUAUUCAAAAUGCAAAAAUCAACAAAAUAUUAAUUAUCGCUCAACUUAGCAUAAUUAAACAUUUAGGUGUGAAAAUCAAAUCACAAUUUGAGUAGCUAAACAUAUCGCUUGAAAAUGUGAUAAGUAAGAAACUUGCCCACAUUUGAGUAGCGACAGGUGGUGAUGCAUUUCCCAACGAGAGAAAACCAAGCUCUUUGCCAGUAUGGAUUUAUGUAGAGGACAACAAAAAUUGUCAACAACACAACUACAUAAGAAACCAAAAAGCUCACACAAAAAUCACCUAUCAAACCAUCUUCUCCUUUAUCUUCUGAUACAGUUAAUAUCGUUGAUGGCGAAUCGAUUUUGGAACAACUUUUAUGCAAUAUAGCUCCACAAAGAAAAGGAUUUCCCUCAUAACUGUUUUCAAUAAAGGUCCCAAAUUGAGCUUUUUCGGGAAUACUACCUGACAAGUUGUUGUAUGCCACGCUGAAAACCUCCAAAGAGUUCAACUCUACCAACUGAUUGGGGAUUUCACCACUCAAAUUGUUGUAAGAAAGGUCCAAACUCUCAAUUUGAUGUAGUUUUGCGAAUGACGAGGGUAUAACUCCUGUCAACUUAUUGUGCGACAAGUUUAAAGAAUGGAUUUCACUUAAGUUCCCUAAUUCUGGUGGGAUAUGACCAGUUAAGUUGUUGCAAGAUAAAUCAAUCCCGGUCAUAUAUGAAAGGAUGUUGCCCUCGUACAAAAAGAUCCCACUCUUUGUUGUGAACUCUAUUACUUCUUCUAAGUAGCUGUCAGGAUAGGAAGAAUCUAUUCCCAAAUUUAGUAUCAUACUGCGUGUUGUUUCAUCCUCUUCUAUAGGCCCAUAGAACUCAGUGUCUAGAAUCUUCUUCGUUUGCAUUAGAAGAGAUAAAUUUCCCAAGCAAGAAGGUAUAGGACCAGAAAACAUAUUUUGAGAAAGAUCUAUGAUGCUUAAAGAAUGCAACUUGCAUAACUCAACAGGAACUUUACCAUGAAAAUGAUUAUCUUUCAAGAGAAGAACACUCAAAGAAGAAAGCGUGUAAAUCCAUUUUGGAAUACUACCUGUCAAAUUGUUUCCUCUAAGAUCUAAACUCACUAUUGAAGAGCUAUUAUAAAAAGCAAGCGACAGUGGGCCUCUCAGUCUAUUCCCGUGGAUGUGGACAUGCUCUAUGUAUGGUGGAUUAAAACAUGACGGUAUAGAGCCAGAUAAAUUAUUCUGAGAAAGAUCCAAAAAUUCCAACCUAUUCAACUUGCAAAAUUCCAUUGGAAUAGAACCUUCAAAACCAUUAUUAGACAAAUCUAAUCUCCACAAAAAUGAUGCAUUCCCUAUCCAUCUUGGGAGCUUUCCAUGCAACUUGUUGUUACUGAGAUCAAUUUGGCUUAGUGAAUAUGGAAACUCAAAAGUAGAGGCAUUAACAUUUGUCAUCUCUCCUGAAAAAUUAUUUCCAUCCAAAUAUAAAUUCUCCACCCCAUUCGCGCUGAGAAUCACAGGAACUACAUUUCCACUGAAGUUGUUAUUUGAUAGUUUCAAAAUGAUCAGUGAGCCUUUCGUGAUCAACUCUUCUGGUACUUUUCCAUACAAUUGAUUGUUUGAUAGAUCUAAAAAUGAUAAGUACUUCAUGCCACUUAAACAAAGUGGGAUAUUACCUUCAAAAGCAUUCUUGGAUAAGAGUAACCGCCUCAAAUGUGGAAAAGUUGAACAUAUACCAGUCGGAAUUUGACCUUGUAAUUUGUUUUCAGAUAUGUCAAUUGAAGAUACAUUAGAAAUAAGAGCUGACGAACGUGAGAGAGGACCUGUAAAUGAAUUACCCUUCAAGAUGAGUUCUUCUAACUUUGUGUUGUUUUCUAGCAACCAAGUUGGUAAAGUUCCACUGAGAUUGUUAUGAGAAAGAUCCACAUAUCUCAAGUCAUAUUGGUAGUAAAGGAAGGUAGGAACUUUUCGACUGAGUUGUUGAGAUGUUAUGCACUUUGACAAACUGAUGACUUCCAAUUGGAACUUUGGGAUUGAGGUAUAAAAGGAAGGUUCCAAUACCAUUUUGUUUUCAUUACUGGAGAGGGCUUUGAGGUUUGAAAGGUUUGCAAAUGGUGCAAAUGACAGUGGAAUUUGAAAAUGGUUUCUUGAAAUAUCUAACACACGAAGAGAUGUCAAGUUACUAAAACAAUGAGGAAGCAUCCCCUCAAGUGCAUUCUCACUCACUUCCAACACUUCAAGGUUCCUUAGAUCACACCAUCCUGAAAAUUUUAUAAAUUCAUGGAAGAAGUUUCAAUUAAAUCUUGUUUUAUAAAACAGAAUAGGAUAUAAUAUAUUACAGAAAGCACAUACAGCAAUCAAUUUGAGCCAUAAAAUUAUUUACCUUGAUUAGGUAAGGGACCAAUAAGUCCACAAUCAGAUAAAGACAAUGUUUUAAGAGAAGCAAAUACUCCAAUGCUUUGCAAAAUGUUGGUGUUGAGAGUAGAAUUGUCAAGAUAUAUUUCCUCCAAAUUGCUCAACACAUUUGAAUCUAAGCAAUGUCAAGAGGUAUUAGAUAACGGUAUUAUAGAAAGCCUCUACUAAGUGAAAUGCUUUAUUUUCUGUGAAUGAAAUGAAAUAUAUAAAUUUUUUUUAUGAGUGUUAGACUAUUCAUGAUUAUCUGAGAUAAAUUUUGAUGGAGAGAAGAUGUUGAAACUUUAAUAUAACUCUUCAUCCAUUUUAUUAAUUAUACUAUUUUUUUUCUUUUUAGUAUUUUCUUAUAUUAUUUUUUAAUAUAAGUAAUUAACUGAUAUGGCUAAUUUGUAUAAUUUUCAAACUCCAAUCAACAACACUAUAAAUAAUAUUUAUAAAAUAAAACAUUUCUACACUAAAAUUAUUAUAUUACCUUUAAAGUUACCAAUACUUUAAAAAAAAAUAAAAAUAGGUAUUUUACUCACCAAUAAAUAAAAUUCAAAAAUAUAUUUAUAUAUGAAAUUAAAAAAUUUAUAUGUAUUUUUACUUUAAAAAAAUAAAAACAGGUAUUUUACCAAUACUCUAAUAUGUAUUUUUAUGUUUUAUACUAUUAAAAAUAUAUGAAAUUAAAAUAUAGUUAUAUUACAUAUUUUCUCAUAAAUAUAUGUUUUUAUUUAUUUAUAAUAUCAUUUUUUUAUUGUUAUAAUCAUUUUUUAUCUCAUAAAAAUUCAAUAAAUUAUUUUAAAAAAUAUAUUUAUACAAACAAAAUAAUUAUAAACAUUAAUAUUUAAAAAUUAUGAAAAAUUUAAAGAAUUUUAGUUUCAAACCAAAGUCGAAACACAUUAUAAUGGAGGGUUUAGAAAAUGUUUCACCAAACCCAUAUUUUACUUUCAAGUAUGAUAUGAUAUAACUUUAUUAAUAUUUAUGACAAUAACUGUUAUUAUAAUAUCUGAGAUCAAAACUAAAUUUCUAAAUUAAAAAAGAAAAGGAAAUUUAAUUAAAUGAUACCUUGGUGGAUCACAAAAUCUCUCAAUUCAUUAUAGCUCAUAUCUAGUUCCCUUAAUUUGAUAAAUGCUUCCAAAUCUAGGAAAACAAAAACAACAAAUUAAUCAACUCCAUUAUAUUCUCUUAAAACAUUAUUAUAUUCUUGUUAAAAAACUAAUAUUUUUACCUUUCAUAUCUAUUGAUCCUUUCAAUUGAUUGACCCUUAUGCUCAACGAUUUCAAAUUUGAAAGCUUGUUAAGGGAUGCAAAUGCACUAGUAUUGAAGAGAUUUCCAUCUAAAUUAAGCUCUUCCAAGUGGGUCAACUCCAAUUUUCUACCACCAUCUACAAAAGAUUUAUAUAAUUUCAUCACUGAAAUGAAUUGGCAUAAAAUUUAAUUAUAUGUAAGAAUUUAGGUAAUUGGUUAAAUAUAAAUGCAUACCUUUAAAGGAUUGAAAGCUUUCAAUUUGAUUCCCACUUAAAUCGAGUUUCUUCAAAUUUGUUAAAUUGCUCAAUCCUAUACAUAUCCACGUCCAAUUUAAAAAAUCAUUAUGUUAAUAAUUUUAAUUUCUACUUAAUAUUUUAAUGAAAUAAAAAUGAAAAAGAAAGUAAAUCUAAAACUUGAAGUGAAGAUGAAAAUCCUCAAACGUGAAAUGUGAAUGUUCAAAAUUAAAACAAUUGAUUUUAAAAGGUUCUAGAAAGAAUUAUCAAGAAAAACAAAGUUAUAGCUUUAGUACCUUUAGUAUCUAAUGAGCCUUGCAAACUGUUCGACCUCAUAUUCAAGGACUUUAGGCUUGAAAGCCCUUGAAGAAAGGAAAUUGUGUUGUUCCGAAAGAGAUUACCACUCAAAUCAAGUUCCUCUAAGUUUGUUAGCCUCAAUUGUGUUCCAUCUAUCAUUGGAAGAAAAUAAUAUCAUUCAAGAUAAAAAUAGUUAGGAAAAAUGAUUGUUUGAGAAGGAAGAGGCAAUUUACAAGCUUUCCCAUGAAUUGAUAACUACAUUUUACAAGUAAAACUUAAUUGAUUCAAUAUAUAAAUACUUUGUUUGAGAUACCUUCCUAUUUUGAAAUACUGCAACAUUAACUGUCCCUUAAACAAAAAUUGGUUUUAAAGUGAAAAAGAAACAUAUAAAAGCAGUCCACCUUUAAUAUGAAUUGACAUAUAAAUACUGUACUUAUACCUUGGUUUGAGAUGCUUUCAAAUUUCAAUUCUGUUCCAACUUAAAUCCAAGUAUUUCAAGUUUGUCAAAUUAUUCAAUCAUAAAAUUCAAUCCCAAAUAUUGAUUAGUUAUAUAUUCAUCGUAUGAUGAAAUCAAACUUGAAUAUACAUUGAUUUUUAAAGUUGAAAAGAAACAGGUAAAAUCAGUCUACCUUGAAUAUGAUCCAUCCUUCCUUUCAACUCAUUACCACUCAAUCUUAAAGUCUUCAAGGAUGAAAGAUUUCUCAUAUGGAACAAAAUGCUAUUCUUCAAAGAAUUCCAACUUAAAUCAAGAGUUUCCAAGUUAUUGAGUCUUGAAAGCAAUUGAAAACCUGAUAUAUAUACAUAAUUACUUGUUAAUUGUUUUUUUCUUUCUUUGCUAUAUGAAAAUUUUACUAAAGCAAUAGUGGAAUUACAACGGAUAAAAAGAAUGGAAAACUAGGUACCAAACCCAGAAGACCAUCCUCAAACUCCACUAUACAAAUAAAAACUAACACCAGACCAAACUUAAUUUACCUCUUAGAUGACUUGAUCCUUCUAAUUUGUUGUGUGAUAGAUCUAAAUACCGGAGAGAUGAAAGCUCACUCAAAGAUAACAAAAUGCUGUCAUUCAAGUAGUUUUCACUUAAGUCAAGGAUCUCCAAAUUACUCAACGUGGAUGAUAGUUUUCCAAAGCCUAUAGAAAUAUUCUUUUAAAUAUAUACAAGUUAGUGACUUUUCUUCCAUAAAAUAAAAUAAAAUAUAAGUAAUUGCAAAUUAACGAUGGUGAGAGUAGUGGAAUAAUAAAAGAUGUAAUUAAGGAAAAACUAGAGGCACGACCUUCAUUUUCAAGAUUACCACUUAUGGCAUUCCCCGACAAAUAAAGACUCUUCAAUUCCUCAAAGGGAAGAAACAUAGAGGCAUUGAGAUACCAGGCAUUGAGAUUCCUAUUAUCCAUGUCGUAUUCCCAUUUUGUAGAAUUAAGGGAGAGUUGUAUGAGUCUCCUAGUGGUGGUGUUACACUCAACUCUUUCCCAUUUACAACAAUCUGAACCCUUCACCUCAACCCAACUAUUCAAUUGAUUACCAUCAUUGAAGAAAGGUUUGAGAUGCAAGAGAGCGAUUCUCUCAUGCUCCAAACAAGCAUCAGUAGUACACCAUCUGCAUCCUUCUAACACCAACAACAUUACUGCCAUCCUAAUAAACCUUAACCAUUUCCACUUCAUCAUCAUCAUCAUCUCUCUGUUUUCACUUCUCUCUCAGCUAUAUGUUACUUUUUUUUAACUUCUAUAUGUAUAUAAUCUAAAGAAGCCUAAGCUUCUUAUUUAUAUACAAGCAGAUGCAUCCCACUAACUCACUAUAAUGUAAAAAUAAUAUAUAAUUAAUUAAUUCCUCAAAAAUUGGAUCAAAAUCUAGGCUUCUUAUUUACGUAAAUUAUUUAUUGCAAAAACUCUUAGUGGAAAUUCGUUAGGAAGGGAUGAAGGGGCCACAAGAAUAUUGAUGUUAAUCUUGAAAAACGAAUGGCCAAAAAAAUAUGAAAAGUGAGAGGUGGACAUAAAAUCGUAUAGUUGGGAUUGCAAAAGUCUUCAUGUGGCUUUCUUGUGAGUUUCAUUUAUACCCUUCUUACACUUAUACAAACUUAGUCUUGACUUGGCUUUAUUAAUGGAAAAUUUAGGUCUUCAUUUUUGGUUUUAUUCAUAGAAAUUUUACUUCUUUGAUUUUGGUUUUAUUAAUGGAAAUUUUAAGUCUUCAGUUUGCUUUUAUUCUUGCACAUUUUAGGUUUUGAUUUUGAAAAUUUAGUUUUUUCAUCUCUAUUAUUAUAAAAUUUCUUAAUUUAAUUAAUAUCAUGAGUUAAUUUAAUACUUUAAAAAAUAAAAUAUUACAUUCACUAUUUUUUAAAAAAUAAAAGUAACUAUAAAAUUUUAUUAUUUAUAUAAUAUUUAAAAAAAAACUAUUUAUUUCUACUAGACCACUACUUUAAAACUAUCCAUUAUCAUAUUGUAAUAGGCCCAAUUUGCCCGGGCCCGGUAAAUAAAUAAAACCAAUAAAAUCAAAUAAAAAAUAGUCCCAAAACAGUCCAUUUACAAUGACCCAAUACCAACCCAAUGGCCUAAAUCUCUACCCAAGCCCGAAUCUAAACCUAAACAGGCCCAAAACCCACUAAACCUAAUGGCCCAAUACCCAGCUUGGCUGAGACAAACCCUAGCCUUCAGCAGCUUUCUGCUCUUGCGCUGCAGCCAAGCCGCUCCUCACGUACGAGCCUCAUUCAUGCGCCGCACCGAGCAACGCCAUCGCCAGGGACCACGCCUGUACUGUGCCACGCGAGCCUCCGUACAUGCGCGCCCGUUCACCUCUGUACCAGUACCUGCAAAUACACACAAGAAGCAGCGAAGCAACAAAAAAAAAGAGAAAAUAGCAGUAGAAAAAUAGGGGAUUUUCAGUUUUUAUUUGAUUUUUCUGGCUAUAAAAGCCAAACACGCAGAUUGUAUCAUAGGGGGAACUCACGCAUAUUGCAAAAAAACAAGGGGCAGAAAAUCAAUACAAAAAAAAAAAGAAAAGGUUUUCUCUUCCUUCAGGUCUCUUUUCUUCUCCAAUUGUUUCUUUUCUUUUUCGAUUGUUAUUAGCCUCAUAUAAGUAUAGAUAUAUAUAGAGUAAAUAAUAACAAAAAGGGGGGGUUAAAACGUACCUGGUGAUGCCUUUGAAUCCACGCGAAGAAGCCAAAAAGCCUUGAAUGGUGAGGCUCCGACCACCAUUCGCAGUGGAAUCAAGGCGGAGGGGCGGACUGACGGCACUGAAGACUAGGGUGAAACCCUAGCAGAGGAAACAAUAAGCAAUUUUUUUUAAAAACGAGUCUGCUAAUGUUUUUUUUAGGGUAAAUUUUGUUUAAAUAAUGAUACAAUACGGAGCCGUUUUGGGCUAGGGUUCCUAGCGUCCAAACGACGUCGUUUAGAGGCCUUACCCAAUGACCCGAUCCAGAUGGCGGCUAGAUCCGCGUGUUUGGUAGGGGGAGGGGAAAUUUCGCGAAGAGUCCCUCUUGUUUUGUGCCGUUUCGGUUUGAUUUUCUUCAUUGUUUUUAAUUUGAAUCGCGUAUUUUAUUUUGUUUUCAAUUUGAUCCACAGUUAAACGGCGCCGUUUUCACUAAUCGGAUUUGAGCAUCCGAACAUUUGUGUUUAUUUUCUGUUUUAGUCCUCUCUGUUAUUUUUUAUUAUGAUUUUUACCCUCCUAUUUUAUUUUCACCCUAAUUUAGUCCCGAAACUGUUAGAUUUCACUUUAUUUAUGCAAUGUAUAUAUUUAUUUAUUUUAAACUUUAUAUUAUUUAUUUUAAAUCGUUCUAUUACUAUUUAUUUUAAGCCUUUUUUACAUAUUAUAUGUUUUAAAUUAUGUUAAUCAAUUAUUCAUUUUAAAUAUAUAUUAUUUAUGUUAAACUACAAAUGUAUAUUAUUUAUUUGGAAUUGUUCUUAUGCACAUCAUGCAUUAUCAUUUUUAAAAAAAUAAUAAUAAUAGAAUUUGUUUGCAUAUUGUUCAUUUAGGAUUCCUUCUCACACAUUACUUAUUUUAAACGUUUUACAUAUUAUUUUAAAUUGUUUUAUAUGUUUUUUUUUAAAUGCUUUGAAGAUUAUUCAUUUUAACUUGUUUUACACAUUAUUUUAAUAUGUAUGGAAUUGCUUUAAUAUAUAUAUACGUGAAUAAAACGUAUUGUAACUGGUAAUUUCUAAAAUUUUAUUCUACGUUUUAAAAUUUUUAUCAUUUCGAUUAUGUUGAUUGGUUUACUUGGGAUUAAAUUAUUAUUGCAUUGAUUAUUCUUUUUUUUGAUUUUUUUGUUAGAUUGAUUAUUAGUUUAUUUGAUUAUCAAUGUUGAUGUAUUAUAUGUUUGGUUGCUCCAAAUUGUAAAUUUAGCUUGCUAUUCACCAUUUGAUUAGUAUAUUGAUAUUUUAUUAUAUUGUUUGUAAAAAUUGCAUUUCAUUAAAGCAUUACAAUUGUUUUAUUUCAAAAUUCUCAAAAAGCUUGGUAUUUAAAAAUUCUCGAGAGGAUUGUGCCCUAACUUACUGGGCUUACCUUUUUUAAUUUGAACAUAGAAGUUUCAAAAUAAAAGCUCAUUCUCGGGAAUUUGACACGUUGUGUCCUAACGCAUUGAAUAUGACUAUUAUUUUCUCGAGAUGAGGAUUUUAAGGCAAUGUUCGAUAUUUAGGAAUUUUGUGAAAUCGAACCCUAACUUACUGGGUUUUGAUUUUCUCAUUUGACCCAGAUAAUCGGACAUCCUCCUCAAAAUGCAUAGGUUUUAAAAGACGAGAGAUAAACUUAACUUGGAGGACUUAAAAUGUUGCACUCUAACUUACUAAGGGUGACGAUUUAUUUCUUUGAAAUAAGUGAGUCUCGUCGUCCAAUUCAUUUUAUUCAAAAUAAAAGGAUCAAAUUUUAAAAUCUUUUCAAAAUUUUGACAUUAAGACAUUAAACAUUCCAAUCGGUACCAAUUUUGGGCGUCACGAGGGUGCUAACCCUUCCUCGUGCGUAACCAACUCCCGAACCCGUUUUCUCAAAAAUUCGCAGACCUAAAAUUAUUUUCAAGGUGAUCCGCACACCACAAUAAAAGAUCGGUGGCGACUCCAUUUCCAUUUUCAAAAUUGAUCCCCAUUUUUCAAAUUACAAAAAAAUGGCUUCGACACAUAUAACUUCUCUUUAAUAAUUCACUAUUCUUUGAACAUUCAUUAGUUUUUGAAACAUAAAAUUUAUAAAUAAUUAUUUUUAGAGUAAACUACACCCAUGGUCACUUUUGUUUACCUUAGGUUACAUUUCAGUCACUUAUGUUUGAAAUGUUACGUUUUAGUCACUUAAGUUAUUGUGUUGUAACAUUUUAGUCACUGAGCCGUUAGUUGUCGUUAAUGGCUGACGUGGCACGUUAAAUUAUCAUUUCAAACAAAAACUUUAGGUUAAAUUAUACAAUUGGUUUCCAUAAUUUUUCGUUUUGAGCAAUUUAAUUCUUUUAUGCUCUUUAACUUUCUUUCUUUUUUUUCUUUAUUUUCCAUUCUCUUCUGCUUCUCCCUGUUUUCCUACAUUCUUUAUUUCUUUUAACAUAUCAGGAAGUCGAAUUGGUAGUGAAGAAAGAAGCAUGGUAUGGGUUUAUGGGCUUUGGUUAUGGGCAAAUGAUGACAGUCGACUUCCUACUUCUUUUUUCACUGUCAAUUCGACUUCCUAAUAUGUUAAAAGAAAUGGGAAAAGUAUGAAAACAGAGAGAGAAACAAAAAAGAAUGGAAAAAAAGAGGAAAGUUUAAAGAACAUAAAAGAAAAAAAAUUAAAUUACUUAAAACGAAAAAAAUAUGGGGAUCAAUUGUAUAAUUUAACCUAAAAUUUUGUUUGAAAUGAUGAUUUAACGUGCCACGUCAGCUUACCGUUACACCAUUAACGACGAUUAAUCGCUCAGUGACUAAAAUUUUACAACAUGAUAACAUAAAUGACUAAAACGUAACAUUUUAAACAUAAGUGACUAAAACGUAACCUAAGGUAAAUAAAAGUGACCAUGGGUGUAGUUUACCCUUAUUUUUAAUAUGACUUGAUUUUUACUUGAAUCAUUUUUGUAAUUAGUUAAUUAAAUUGGGUUAUUUUAAAAAAAUCCUCUUAACUAAUAGCCAAAAAAAAAAAAGCCAUCAUGUAGAAAAUUCUGGUUUGUUGGAAAAAUAAAGACUUGACCUAUUACUUUAGAUUUUGAAAUGUUCAACUUGAUAUUGACAUAUGAUAAUAUGUACAAAUUUCUCAUUCUUUUAAAUUUCAGUGAUAUUACAUGUAUGAUAAUAUGUUUGCCACACCAAAUUUGAAAAUAGUAGAACUUAAUGAAUUUAACAGAUAUCUAAAAUAUCAAAUUAAAGUCUAGGAAUUAAAGCUACAACAUCAGUAAAGUACAAGAACUAUGGUAGAAUUAAACCUUUAUAUAAUAAUUUCCUUCUAUGAACCACAAUUCAAGUGCACCCGACAAGCUAAUUAAUAAAAAUUUAGUGGUAGAAUAUGUAUAUUCUUGUGGGUGGAAAUUUAGUGGAGAUGCCCAUCAUCUUUCCUAAUUAAUAAAAAUGAAGACUUAGAAAAUGUGCAAUCAUAAUCCUAGUUGUCGUUAUGGCCCCAAGAAUAGGUAUAUUAAUUUGUCUCUCUUCAGGAUCAAAGAUAAAUAAUAAAUUUUAUAAAGUUAAAACCAUAAUUCUAUAAUUAUAUUAAUGUAUAAUUUCAUAAAAUUUUAAAAAAUGUAUCUUUCAACUUUUUUAAGUAAAUUGAUAAUUCGUUAACUCAUAAUAUUUUUUUUUUCAAAAUAUUUAUGAGAACGAGUUCGUAUUCUAUUGUGUGGAAAAUUUUAGUACAGAUAUUGGUGAAGCCAAAUCCAACUUGUUUGACCAAGAAAGUCUCUGUCGUGUGGAAAAUUUUAGUUUUGUGGAAAAUGGACAUUACCAUUUCCUUGAAUGACCAUCAAUUUCUCCAUUGAGAUAUAGUAAGAGGGAGUGAAAUAUAUAUAAGGUAAUAUUUAAUGUAUUCACACCAAAUUUCAUUAAUGAGUAAAACAAAUAAUGAAUAAUAAUGAAAAUUGGAGGAAAUUGUUAAGAAAAUAUCAUUACAUAUAUCAACACUCACAUAAUUCAUUGUAUUAACUUUCAAAUGUUGACUAUUGACUUCUACAUCAACCUUGAGCUUAUAUAGGCCCCCCUCACGGAAAUAAUCUCACAUUUAAUGCCUAGAGGUGCUUAUGGGCCGGGCCGGGCCCAGAAAAAAUUUUAGCCCGGGCCCGGCUCGGCCCGAAAUAUGGGCCUGAAAUUUUGCCCAAGCCCGGCCCGGUAAAAAAUUCAUAAGCCCGAGCCCGGCCAUUUUUUAAAUAAAUACCAAAAAUUUAUUUUAAAAUUAAAAAAAUUUAAAAAAAGUAUUUUAAAAAUAUUUUAAAUAAAUACCAAAAAUUCACCCUGCAUCUAAAAGGAGGUCCAGCACUCGAAUCCCAUUCCCCAUAACUAAAAACCAUGUCACUGUGACUUGGUCAUAUCUCCGUUCAAAGUCGGACAUGGGUAGUUAAAGAAAAAUGAAGAGUCGAUGCAUGAUAGACUAAGGACUAGCUCAAAAGUGCUUUUAGAAAAAAUUGCUCUUGAAAAGAGGUGUGGAAAAGUGUGCUUGUUAGUUUUUAGUGUUGUUCAUUGCUGCCAAAAAUCGCAAUUGAAAGUUAAAAUGUUCUUUUUAGACAUGAUAGUAGAAAGUAAAAAAUUAGUCAAGUCAUAUGAUUUUUAAAUAAUUUAAUAUAAUGAUACAUGAAAUAUAACUUUUAAAUACCUUUUAAGUAAUUAAUAUAAAUUAGUUGUAAAAUUGAUAAUAUAUAAAAUAUUUUGAAAAAAAUAAAUAUAAUAAUAAAUAAGAUUUAAACAAUUUAAUAUAAUAAUAUAUAAAAUAUAAAUUAAUCUAAUUUUUAUAUACCUUUUAAAUAGUUAAUGAAAAUAAUAGUAUUUUGAUAAUUUUCCCUUUGAAAUGCAAAAGCCAAAAACAGUUUUUGACUACAAAAGCUAUGUGUUGUUCAUCACUUCUGCAGUGGAAAAACACUUCUCCAUGGUGUAAAAACACUUUUACCCAAAAAGGCUUUUUCACCACAGUAGAGAAUGCACCCUAAAAUUGUAAAUAGAAAAAGGAAGAACCAAACAUUGUUUCUACCCUGUUUUUGUCUCCUCUUUGAAAAUACUUUCCAAAAGUUUUAUCAUUUUUUUUUCUGUUUACGAUGCCUUAAAUGCAAAUUCCUUAUAGAAGUGCUUUCUUUUGAUCCACUUGCAUCAUUGUAAUAAGUUUGCAUUGCCUUCUUUCUAUGUUGAUUAUCGUUUAUUAAGUUUUCUGUUGGAUCUUAUAGUCAAAUUCCUUUACAUCAUGUAUGUUAAUUUGCUUAGCCCUGAUAAAUGUUAGAUAUAGGGUUAUCAGCUAAUUAGGAAAGACUGUAAUGAUAGUCACACCUUACAUCCAAAUUUUUACAUUGAGGUUCCUUAUUAUUUUUUCUUGUUUCACCAAUUGCAUCCUAUUUACAGUUCCUUAGCGUUAUCCACUGUGCUAGGGUGGUUCUUGUUCAUAUAUUAAUCACCAUGCGCCUUCAGCAAAUGCAAAGCCAGCCAGCAUCUUCUGAUUUGUCAUUGGAUACUACACUUUCAGCAAAUGUAAAGCCGCCAGAUUUUCAGCUGUUUUUAGAAGGUCAAGACACAACAAGAGCAACAUAUGUUGUAUUCUUGUCAAACAAGAUAAGUUUUCGCAUAUUAACGAUUCUUUUUCCAAGAUGAAUUAUUCUCCUGUUGCAUUUUUAUUUGGGUUCAAAUGUUCUGUGAAGUUAGCUUGCCAGUGCUUGUUUGUUCAUCAGCAUUUACAGCUCAUUUGUCAUUGGUCAGCAGAAUUUCCGCUGUUUUUAGAAGGUCAAGACACAACAAGAUCAGCAUAUGUUGUAUCUAACAUUUAUAUUCAACAACUGGAAACCAUGUCAUAAAUACAUAUGAAAAAUAUUUAAAAAUCCUUGGUUGAAUACUCGUGCACUAACAUUUUUUAAAAGUUAAUUUUGUGUUACUUUUUUCAUCUCUAUUAUUAUAAAAUUUCCUGAUUUACUUGAUAUCACGACUUAAUUUAGCAUUUAAAAAAUGGAAUAUUACAUUCACUAUUUUUUUAAAAAUAGGAGUAACUAUCAAAAUUAAUUAUUUAUAUAAUCUUUUUUAUAAAAACUAUUUAUUUCUACUAAACCACUACUUUAAAACUACCCAUUAUCAUACAACUUCUCUUUAAUAAUUCACUAUUCUUUCAAACAUUCAUUAGUUUUUCAAACAUAAAAUUUAUAAAUAAUUAUUUUUACCUACAUUUUGAAUGAUGCAAUUUCUAACUAUACACUAAAAUACUCCAUUUAUCAAUUUAAUUUAAUUCAAAGAAUUAUGAUAAUAAUUGAAAUUUCAAAAAAGGAAAAAAACUAGAUAAUUGAAUAUUUAUAUACAAAAAUAAAACAAACAAGACAGACUUAAGCUUUCUUACCCCAAAGACAAGAUCUUUAUUCAAAAUGCAAAACUAGCAAAAUACUCCCUAAAAUUCAUCUAAACACAUCUUCUAAAGAUGUAAUACCCAAGAAGAUUGCCCACAGUUGGUGAUGCACUUCCCAACGAAAGAAAACCAAACUCCUCGCCAAUAUGGAUUUAUGUAAAGGAUAGCAACAAUUGUUAACAACAUAACUACAUAAGAAGCCAAAAAGCUCACACAAAAAACAUAUGUGUCUAGAAAACUAUCUUCUCUUUCAUCAUCUGAUAUUGUUGAUAUUGAACCGGUUUUGGAGCAACUUAUAUGAAGUAUAGGUCCACAGAGAAAAGGGUUCCCCUCGUAACUGCUUUCAAUGAAAGUCCCAAAUUGGUUUUGUUCUGGAAUACUACCUGACAAGUUGUUGUGUGCAACACUGAAAACCCCCAGAGAGUUCAAAUCUACCAGCUGGUUUGGGAUUUCACCACUCAAGUUGUUGUAAGAAAGAUCCAAACUCUCAAUCUGCUUAAGUUUUGAGAAUGAUGAAGGUAUAACUCCGACCAACUUAUUGCGUGACAAGUUCAAAGAAUGGAUUUCACGCAAGUUCCCUAAUUCAAGUGGGAUUUGACCAGUUAACUCAUUGCAAGAUAAAUCAAUCCCAGACAUGUAUUCAAGGAUGUCGCCUCCAUAUGAGAAAGAUCCACUCUUUGUGGUAAACUCUACCGAUUCUUUCAUGUAGCUAUAGGAAUGCAUCAUGUGCUCGAAAAGUAUACCCGUCUUUAAUAGUUUCAAUUCAUCCAGUUCUGAAAAUGUUGGCGACAUUAAAUCUGGUGUCAUGGUCUUAUCCUUAUUCAUUGGAAGAGUUAAAUUUCCCAAACAAGAAGGUAUAGGACCGGAAAACCUAUUUUGAGAAAGAUCUAUAAUGCUCAAGGAAUACAAGGUGCAUAACUGGACUGGAAUUCUUCCCUGUAAAUGAUUAGCUUUCAAGAGAAGGACACUCAAAGAAGAAAGUGUGUCGAUCCAUUUUGGAAUACCACCAGUAAAAUUGUUUCCUCUAAGAUCUAAUGUCACUAGUGAAGUGCUUUUAUUAAAAGCAAGUGACAAUGGACCACCCAGUCUAUUAUUGUGCAGGUGGACAUGCUCUAGGUUUGGAGGAUUAAAACAAGAUGGUAUAGAGCCAGAUAAAUUAUUUUCAGAAAGAUCCAAAAAUUUGAAGUUAUUCAAGUUGCAAAAUUCCACUGGAAUAGAACCCUCGACACCAUUGUUAGACAAGUCUAAUCUCUCCAAAAGUGACAUAUUCCCUAUCCAUCUUGGAAGCUUUCCAUGCAAUCUGUUGUUACUGAGAUCAAUAUCUGUUAGUGAUGUUGGAAACUGAAAAGUAGAGACAUCAAAAUUUGUCAUCUCUCCAGAAAAAUUAUUUCCAUCCAAAUAUAAUUUUUGUAACCCAUUUGCAUUGAGAAUCACAGGAACUACAUUUCCAUUGAGGUUGUUGUUUGACAGUCUCAAAAGAAAUAGUGAGCUUUUCCUGACCAACUCUUGAGGUACUUUUCCAGCCAAUUGAUUGUUUGAUAGAUCUAACAUUGACAAAUUCUUCAUGGCGCUUAAACAAGGAGGGAUAUUGCCUUGAAAGGCAUUCUUGGAUAAGAAUAACUGCUCCAAAUGUGGAAAAGUUGAACAUAUAUUGGUUGGAAGCGGACCUUGUAUUUUGUUGUCAGACAUGUCGAUUGAAGAUACAUUUGAAUUAGGAGUCGACAGUAAUGUGAGAGGACCUGUAAAAGAAUUACCCUUCAAGAUGAGAUCUUCUAACUUUGUGUUGUUUUCUAACAACCAAAAUGGGACAGUUCCACUGAAAUUGUUCUGAGAAAGAUCCACAAAUCUCAAGUCAUUUUGGUAGUAAAGGAAGGUAGGAAGUUCAAGACUGAGUUGUUGAGAUGUUCUGCACUUGGACAAACUAAUGAAUUUCAAUUGGAAUUUCGGGACUAAGGUGUGGAAGGAAGGUUCCAUUUCCAACUUGUUUUCAUCAGCCAAGAGGACCUCAAGGUUUGGAAAGUUUGCAAGUGGUACGAAUGAAAUUGGAAUUUGAAAAUGAUUACUUGAAAGAGAAAUGGCUCUGAGUGAUGUAAGACUUGCUAAAGGAGUUAGAUUUCCGGAAAAUCGAUUGUUGGAGAUAUCUAACUCACGAAGAGAUGUCAAGUUACUGAAACAAUGAGGAAGCAUCCCCUCAAGUGCAUUCCAACUCACAUCCAACACUUCAAGGUUCCUUAGAUCACACCAUCCUGAAAAAUUUAUGAAAUCAUGGAAGAAUUUCUAAUUAAAUUUGGUUUUCUAAAACAGAAUAGGAGAAAUCAGAUAAAGAAAAGGUCGUAUAGAAAAUUUUACCGUGAUCAGGUAAGGAACCAAUAAGUGCACACCUAUAUAGAGACAAAGUUUGAAGAGAAGUGAAUACUCCAAUGCUUUGCAAAAUGUUGAUGUUGAGACGAGAAUAAUCGAGAUUUAUUUCCUCCAAGUUGCUUAAUUCUAAUCAAUGAAAAGAGGUAGUAGGUGUUAAUGAAACGUAAGUUGUUUUGGAAUAGAAGAAGUAUUAGAUGUUAAUCAAGAAAAGGUGUUUACCUGAUGAGAAAGCCUCUACUAAGUUUUCUAGCGGAAUGCUAUCGUCGGUGACAAUACUUUGGAGACGAAGAACUUUUAACUUUUUCAAUCCCUUGUUUUCUGUGAGCGAAAAUAUUUUGAUAAAAAUUGUGAAAACUUCAACAUGAUUGCACUAAUUGUUUUUCUUUUCUUUCUAGCAUUUUAAGAUAAAUAAUGUGUAAAAUAGAAUUUUCCUUUAUUGAGAUCAUUAUAUUACUUUAAAUUUAUCACCACUAAAUAGAAAAUUAUUAUUAAAUCAAAGUUUUAAAUUUAUUAUUACUUAAAUGUUGUUUAUGCUGGGUGAUUUUGAUGAGAAUAAUUUAUUAUAUAAAAAUAAAAGUAUAUUUCUUAAAGUAAAAUAAGAGAAAUAUUUUAAAUUUUUUUGAAAGUGUUUAUAUACAUAUUACACUUAAUCACUCUUUUGAAAAUUCUAAUUACUCUUUUAAAUUUUAUGUUAAUUUUAAAAAGUAUAUAUAAUUUCAACAGAAAUAUUACUUUAAUAUUAAAAUGAAGAGCUUUUGUGGGUAAAAAAAAUUAUAUGAGUUUAUUUAAUUACAAAAAUAAUUUAAGAAUUUAUUUAAAAAAUAUGUAGUUGUUUUAGGCUCGAUCCUAGGGGUUAUUUGAGAGUGCGGUCGCCCAGGGCUGGAAGGGGCCCAAUUUUUUUUUCAGAUUUUAAUAUGGGAAAAUAUUCAGACUAAAAUAAAUAAAUAAAUUGCCUAGAGCUUUCAAAUUUUCACCAUAAAUACUUCAUCUCCUAUGGCUAAAAAAUUUUUCAGCUUUUAUUGUAUUACAUUUUAUAAUAUUUUUAAAAAGACUCGUUUAAAGACUUUUUUAAGUAUAUUAACCUAUUUUAAAAUUCCACAUUUUUAAAAUGUCUUAAUUUUCAAAUUAAAGUACAAACACACUAUAAUCCACAAGCCUUAAUUGCCAUGUCAACAUAAACCACCAUUUAGAAGAUUGUUUUCAUUUUUUAAAAAAUAAAAAAAAAUUAUUUAAAUGAUACCUUUGUGGACCACAAAGCCUCUCAAUUGAUUCCCACUCAUAUCUAGUUUCUGUAAGUUAGUAAAUGCAUCCAAAUCUGGGAAAGAAACAGAUAAGCUUCAUUAAAUCAUUCCAAAACAUGAUUAAUAUUUUUGUCUAUAGAGGCAUAAUUUGUCAAAAAAUAAUAAUUUUACCUUUCAUAUCUAUUAAUCCAUUCAAUUGAUUGAAACCUAUGCUCAAAGAUUUCAGAUUUGAAAGCUUGUUUAGAGUUGCAAAUACACUGUUAUUGAAGAGAUUUGCUUCUAAAUUAAGCUCUUCUAAAUGGGUUAACUCCAAUUUCUUACCUUCAUCUACAAAAGAUUUAACGUAAUUUCAUCAAUGAAAAAAAUGAUAUAAAUUUAAUUAUGUGUAAUAAAUUAUUUAACUGAACCCUAAAUUGUGGGUUAAUGGUUCAAGUGUUCGAAUUAUCAUUGUGUAAAAAAAACAAACUUAAUUAACGGACCAAAAUAUAAAUACAUACCUUUGAAGGAUUGAAAGUUUACCAUUUGAUUCCACCUUAAAUCCAACGUCUUCAAAAUUUUCAAAUUAUUCAAUCCUAUAUAUACUCAAGUUGAACAAAUAUUUUAAUAACUUGGCUGAAGUGAAAAGGGUAAAAGUAAGGAAGUUGAAAAAUCCCCAAAAGUGAAAGUACUAAUUUGAAACAAAUAAUUAUAAAGGGUCCUACAUAAGUAAGGACUUUAUGCUUGAAAGCCUUCAAGGAAGGAAAAUGUGUGGUUUCCAUGGGAUCUAAUUAUAAUCCUUGUUUGCUGGAUUCCACCUUUUUUAUUUGGCCAACAAAAAAUAAAUAAAUAAUAUAAAAAAAUUGUGAUUACUAAGGCUUCAACCUUGAAGUUUAAAUAGAAUUAUUCAAUCCCAAAAAUUGACCAAAAAUUUCCCUCAAACAAAACUUAACUUUAAAGUAGAAACAAAACCAGAGAAAGGCAAUCUACCUUGAAUAUGAGGCCACUUUCCUUCUAAUAGGUUGUAAGCUAGAUUUAAAUAUUGGAGAGAUGAAAAUUGGCUCAAAGAUAAUAUAAAGCUAUCAUUCAGAUGAUUUUGACUUAAGUCAAGGAACUGCAGAUUUCUGAAUGUGGAUGAUAGCUUUUCAAAACCUGCAGAGUUAAUAAUAACAAGUAAUCGCAAAAUUAACAGUAAGUUGUGUUGAAAAUAUGUGUACAUAAUAGAGUAACUAAAGAUGAAAUGAAGGGCAAAUCAAAUAUAGAACCUUCAUUUUCAACACAACCGGCUAUGCCACUCCCUGUCAAAUAAAGCCUCUUUAAUUCCUUGAAGGGAAGAAACAAAGAGGCAUUCAGAUACCAAUAAUCCAAGUAUCCGGACCUCAUAGAAUCAAGAGAGAGUCCAAUGAGUCUCCCAGUGGUGGUGUUGCACUCAAUCCCUUUCCAUUUACAACAAUCUGAACCUUUAACCUCGUCCCAGCUGUCGAACUCAUUAUAGUGAUUGAAGAAAGGUUUGAGUUGCAAGAGAGCAACUCUCUCAUGCUCCACACAAGCAUCAAUAGUGCACCACCUGCAUCCUUCUAACAGUAGCAGCACACUCAUCACUGCCAUCCUCAUAAACCACAACCAUUUGGAGUCCAUCAUCUCUCUGUUUUUGCUUCUCUCUCAAUUGUAUGCUACUUCAAACUUCUAUUGCAUUAGCCUUCAUGAAACUUGUUAUUUAAAGACAAGGACCUAAGGCUGAAGGCAACCCACUAGUCCACGCUGAAAUAGUCCACUGAAUGUGACGAUAUAUAGGCCCUACAAAGUGUGGUUGUGGAAAUAAUCUAAACACCUAUCCUCCAAAUUAAUACUAUUCCUUGAGAAAUUAUUAAAGGUCAAUUUCUGGUUUUAGUCCCUACGCAAAAUUCAUUUUGAAGGUUUAGUUUUUAUAUAAUUUAAGAUCAAAUUUUUAUAAUUAAAUUAUCAUUUACGUCUGCUUUAAAAUUAUGAAAAAAAUAUUUUAAAAAUAUAACGAACUCCAGCUACAGCUUCAAAAUAUGAUGAAGAUGUUUUAGUAGAAUAAAUCGCAGAAUCCGCCAUCUUUGACUUUUGUUUUCUUAUUGUGAGAAUAUCUUAACAUUAUAACUUUUGAAUAUAUUUUGUUAUUUCAGUUAUUAAUUUAGAUCAUAUACAAAUUUCUUUCGUGAUAGUCUCAUUUAGAUUUGAAGUUUGUUGUUGGAUUUGAAGUUACAGGAAAAUAUGUUGAAAAUUUGGGUUUAAUAUUAAAUAAAAUGGGUUGGUAAAAUCUAUUAAUGUUAGUGGCGUUUUCCCACAAAUGCCACUAUAGAACAUGAUCUUUAGCUGCGCUUUUACUACAAACAUUGCUAAAAAACAUGAUUUUUUGUGGUACUUCUAGCUAUAAAUGCCACAACAUGCUUGACUCUUUUAUAGUGUUUUUCCAAAUGAACGCCGCAAAUUUUAGCGGCGCUAUCUAAAGCGACUUUUUACUGGCACUUAUCAAAGCGCCGCAAUCUGUUUUAGCGGCACUUAUAAGCACCGCCAUAGGGCCAAAAAAACACCGCUAAAAACCUAUUUUGCUGUAGUGAUUUACGCAUUUAUAAGCCUACAAAAUAAUCACGGAUUCAAUUUUAGAGUCCGUUAUCAGCCCCUAAUCGGGACAUCAAAUUGACCAAAAAGGGCCCACAUGACCUACCUGUUCAACUUGUGUAAUUGCACACGCCUAAGUGCUCCACACGGCCUGGCACACGGCCAACUACACAUCAAUGUGGUGCACAUGAACUUGUGACGCAGAGUAGCUUUGAAAAUUGUAACCUCCCAAACCCGGCCUAGAUGUUAUGACUAGAUUGAGAAGGCUACAAUAGCCACCGAAAUGGCUAAGCUAACUUACGUUACUUUUGAAGACCUUAAAUAAACUCAUUUUAGAGAAAACCGUAGUUGUACUUUGAGUUAGCUUAAAAGCAUUCAUUCAUUAGGUCGUGUAUACUUAGGAUUCAUUUUAUUGUUGAUAGUGUUGUUUUACAAAAAUAGUUUGCUUAUCGCUCUUCUUUUAAAAAAAACUCGAUGGUAAACUAAUGUGCGGAAAAACCAUUUUUCAAGUCAUUUUGGAAACUUAGUUGCCUUAACGAUUUGUUUUUCAGAAACAAUUCCUUUUUAAUGCAGCGGAAACUAGGGAACAAUAUCAAAUUUUACUUAAGCUCGAUAUCAUGCAUUAUUCAGUUAUUAUGCUUGAGUAAUCCAUGCAUGCAAAAAUCCCAAAAGAAAAGUUACUAAGCCACAAACCACAAGUCAUUAAAAAUUACAAACCAAAACUAAUAGAAUCUGAUUAAUACUUUUUAAAAAUAGUCCGAGGUCCAAGGUGAUUCUUCGAAUGCCAAGUCCGAUCCUAAUUUUGAGGUUUACACAUUCAUUUGACAUACUCAGCACGUCCUCAAUAAUCACAUACUUUUAGUAAAUGAAAACAAUGUUCCAAACUUUCAAAUUACCAUUGUGUUGGUAUUAAUCAAUAUCGUUCAAUUUCGCAUACUUUAUGAAUUUUGAUUAUGCAUAAAUAGCACCCUAUACAACAUAUAUGUAUAUAAUAUAUGCCAAGAAAAUUUAGAAAUACAAUAAAUCAACCUAAAUGAAAUCAUUCAUCAUCAUUUUUCAAGAUUUUAAAUUAUAUUUUCUCAUUCCCAUUGUCAGUGUAUUUCAACUUGUAAACAAAGAUGAUGGCUACUAUAAAUGGAAUCAUUGAUAUAUCAUGAUAUUUGAAUUUGACAACUAUUUUUAUACAUUUUAUUACCAAAAGUAAGGGUAUUAAUUUUUUAAUGUUUAAUUGUGGUUUAGAGUUAAUUUAUUUAAAGUUAAUUGUUAAUAUUAUUAAAUUCAAAUUUUCGUAAUUGUAUUAAUAGAAUAAAUUUAGUGUUAAAAGUGAGUUUAUUCAAUUUUAUAUUUAAUUUGUUAAAUGUAAUCUAAUGAUUUUUUUGUGCUCUAGUGUUGAUUUAAUUAAAGUUAAUUAUUAAUAUUAUUAGGUAACUAUGAGUUCUCAUCAAAUUAAUCCUAAAAUUCAAAUUAAAUGCUAAAAAAUUAACAUUAUUACUUUUAAAUAUCAAAAUGUAUAAAUUUUAUUAAAUAUAGAUACUAAAUCAAACAAAAAUUAUAAAUUUUGAGUCGUUGCAAAUUUUUCCAACAUUUUUGGGGUCUUGAAUUUGAUAUGCAAAAAGUUGGUGGGAAUUUUAAGUCAGCAAAUCCUUUAAAAGGGCAAUGACAUAAUUAAUUGCAUUACUUUAAUGGUUGAAUUUUCAUAGCUAAUAUGUAUGCAAAAAGUUGGUGUGAAUUUUAAGUCAGCAAAUCCUUUAAAAGGACAAUGACAUAAUUAAUUGCAUUACUUUUCAAAGAUCGACUACUGACUUUGGUGAACUUAUUUAUAGAAGGUUAAAUUCUGCUGUUGGUCACUGUACUUUACGAAAGUUGUGAAUUUAGUCUCUAAACUUCAAUUUGAUCAAUUUUAGUCUCUAUACCUUUUGAAUUUUGAAAUUUUAGUUCUAACCCAAACAGUAGCAGUUAUCAAUUUGAUUAAAUUCUAUUACUAUCGAUUUAGUCCAAACUUUCUGAAUUUUGAAAUUUUAGUCUUGAUGCAAAUGACAAUCACUGGUCUAUUAAUUGGAUUUUUAGUAAAUAAUAUGUGAAAAUAACAAGUUUGUUGACACCAUUUUUUUGAUAAAAAUGGGGUCGACUUAGAUUUUGAAAAUAAAAACGAAAAUGGGAGUCGCCACCGAUCCUUUUUGAUAAGGUGUGAUCGGGUCACCUCAAAAAGUGAUUGUUUUUAAUAAGCGAUUUGAUUUUAUUAAAACAACGAUUUUAGUCCACGAAAUUUAAAAAAAUGGGUUCGGGAGUCGGUUACGUUCAAGGAAGGAUUAGCACCCUCGUAACGCCCAAAAUUGGUACCUAGUUGAUUAAUUAAUAUCUUAAUGUCGAGAAUUGAAAACUCGAAAAGAAUUUAAAAUACAAUCAUUCCUUUUUAUUAAUGUUAAAUUUAUAAACGAUGCUUGGAUAAAUCGAGGUGGAUGCUAAAGACCUUCUUGUCUCAGAGUAAAUAAAAUGUCAAUCCAGUACGUUAGGACACAACAUUUUAAAUCCUCGAGAACAAGCUUAUCUUUUUAUUUUCAAAACUCGUGCAUUUAAAUUUCAAAAGGAUAUUCGAUUAUUUGGAUCAAAGGAGAUAAAUCGAAACCCAGUGAGUUAGGGCACGAUCAUUCAAAUUUCCCAAAUACAGAAUAUCACUUUUAUUAUUUUUUUAGGAAAAUCCUCAUCUCGGGAAAACAACAUGUCAUAUCCAAUGCGUUAGGACACAACGUAUUAGAACCCAAUACGUUAGGGCUCAAUCUUCUCGAAGAUCCAAAAUACCGAGUAUUACCCUUAUUUUCAAAAUUUUCUCUUUAUUACGAAUUUGAGUAAAAAUUGUAAAUGACAGAAUAACAAUUAUGAUAAUGUAAAUAAAUAAAUAAAUGAAUAGAAUGAAAAAAAGUAAAAAAGACAUAUAUGUAUGUGCAUAUAUAUAUAUAUAAAUUAUAAAAAAUAUAUAUGAUAUUAUAAAAAUGUAUGCAUGUAUAUAUAUUAAAAGUAUAUGUAUAUGUGUAUUUCGAAAGUAUAAAGUAUAUAAGAUAUAUAUAUGUAUAUGUUUAUAAAUUAUAAAAUAUAAAACAUAUAAGUACGUAUAUAUAUAUAAAUGAAUCAUGAAAUGCACGUGUAUAUAUGUAUAUAUUAGAAAAUGUAUGAAUAUAUAACAAAAUUUGGAAUUAAGGAUGUAAAUGAGUGAAUAAUAAUAACAAUGAAUUAAAAUACAAAAUCAAUGAUGCCAUACAAUAGUAUUAAUAAUAUCAAAAUAAUUAAUUUAAUGAUAAAAUAACUAAAACAACAAAUAGAGGAUUAAAUUAGAAACUAAACUAAAAUUUGGGGUCAAAUAAAAAUAACUUAAAGAGGGUGACUCGGGACUAAAACAAAAUGCGCUGAAGGAGCAAGGGACUUCCAGGGAAAUAUUCCCUAGUCCUGAAACGCAGCACUUCAGCAAGGAUUAAAAUGAAAUCAGAAAAAAAUUUAUGGGCCAAAAUGAAAGAAACAAAAGGGACAAAUUGCACUGAACUAUAAAAGAGGAGGGGCUGAACGCGCAAAUAGCCCCUCCAGGCAUAACACGCGGAUCCUGACCGCAUUCGGGUCGGGUCUCGGAUCGGCUCCUGGGUUUUAUGCCAAACGGUGCUGUUUUGGCCAUGGAUGCUAAGGUCCAAAACGUCGCCGUUUUUAAACUAUAUAAACACUCAAAAAAUCAACAAAAAAAAAAUUCAUCCCUUAUUUUUUUCAAAAAAACUGAGAGUCUCCCUAACUCUCUCUCAACCCCCAUCCCUCAUAUUCGGCCGACGACCUUCUUAGGCCUCCGUCGCGCCACCUCGUAGCCGGAGGUCGGCGCCGGAAAUGAAAGGCCAUUAAACCCCUUUUGUGGAGUCCUUGAGAGCCAGGCUCUCUCAACCCGCGAGGAGUGAAACAAAAGGGGGACCCUCGACCUUGGCAGACCCGACUCAACGAUGGAGGAGAGAGCCUCUGGCGGCACAGUCACGGCCAACUCCAGUGAGUCACCCUUCCCUUUUUGUCCUUUCUUUUAGUACUAGUUUUAAAAUCAGAUUUUUUAAAAAAAUGAUAAAUAAAAUAAGUAAAUAAUUCAAAAAAAAAGAAUCGGAGAAGACAGCAACCUUUGUUUCUAUUUCUGAAAUUCGUAAAAAAAUGACAGACGAAGAAUACAAUGUUAAGAUUUUGGCCUUUAUAGCCGAUUUAAAAACCCCUAAAUUUUUAUUUUUUGUCGUUUUGUUGUUUGGCCUGUUCUGCUGUUGCGUGUGGUUUACUGCCUUGCAGGUGUCAGAGGCUGACGGUCGGUGAUAGGCGAGUAACGGCCUGCGUGAGGAGUGGCAGAGGAGGCAGAACAUGCGGCGCUGGGCAUUGGGCAGAGGCGUGCGGCGCUUUGGGGUUUGCUCUUGGCUGAAAUUGUUUAAGUUGUGGGGCAGUCGAGCCACUAGGGUUUUUUUUUAUUGGGACGUUUGGGCCAUUGUAAUUUUGGGUUUAAGUUUGCUGUAAAUGGACUGGAAUAGUUUUUAUUUUUUAGGCCCGGGCCAAAAUUGGGCCUUACAAAGUCGAUAUGACAUUACACAAAUGAUAAUAUGUUUGUCACACCAAAUUUUAGAGAUAGCAGAACUUAAUGAAUUUAACAAAUAUCGUUUACGGUGAUUGAAAUCUUAAAAUUUGAAAAGUACAAUAACUAAAAUAUCAAAUUAACUUAUAGGGAUUAAAUCCACAACUUCAAUAAAAUACAGGAAUUAAUGGUAGAAUUUAACCUUUAUAUAAUAAUUUCCUUGGUGAAAAAAACGCACAUUAUCAUUUCCUUGAAUGAACUUCAAUUUGUCCAUUGAGAUAUAAUCGGAGGGAGUGGAAUAUAUAUAAGAUAAUAUUUGAUGUAUUCGGUAAAUGGAGAAUAUUAAAUAGAGUGAGCAAGCCAUUCGCCUCACGGAACACAUUAACGAAAGACACAAGCUUAAUACAGUCACUAAAUCCAUCAAUUUCAUUAACAACCUGCUAAUAAUUCAAGACAAUUGUUGGGUCCGGAUGGAUUAUAUUUUAAAAUUUUCUUUCAAAAUACAGAAGUUCCUUUGACAAAAAUGAAAAUAUUAUUUAAUUAUAGGGUUAGUAAUUAGUACACUGAUAAUCUACUUAAUGCUAUUGAUUUUUUUUUAAUAUUAUACAACACCUUUAUAAAACACGUGUCAACCCUCUGACUCUGCUUAUGAAAUUUAAAAACUUCAAUGACAAUGUACCAACUAUUAUUCUUAAUUAUUAUACUAUUCAUGAUUUAAGGACAAAGAUCAAAUACAAUAUUUGCUUAAAAAUCUCUAAUAUAUAUGUAUAUAUAUAUAUAUAUAUAUAUAUACAUUUGCUCACUUAUUGUGAUGUAAUAUAGCACCAUCCAGCUAACCCUAGCUUUCUAGCAAGUAGUCGGAGGAAAUUAUUGAGAAAAUAUCAUUAAAUAUAUCAACAAUAAUUGCACUAACUUUCCGAUGUUAACUACUGACCUUUGCGUCAACCUUGAGCUUAUAUAGGCCCCCUACAAUAAUUUAGGCUAUGGAAAUAAUCUUACAAUUAAUGCCUGAGAAAUAAUUAUAGAUCAAUUUAUAGUUUUAAUCCCUAUAAUUACUCAAUUGAAUUAAAAAUUUUGUUAUUCUUAUUUAAUUUAAUUUGAUAUAUUCUGUUCCUCUUAUUAAUGUUAAUGUUUAGAGUCCCCGCUUGUACAUUGGUGAUUAGGUCUCUCACCAUUAAAUUAUUCUCUUAAGAACCUAACCUGCAAAUUCAUAACAUAAAAAAUUUACAGUCAAAUGUAAUCACACAAAUGACAUUCCUCACUUAAACAGAUUAAGUCGUUGCAAAUAUCUAAACAUAAUCAAAGUCGUCGUUAUGGCCCCAAGAGAAGGCACGUUAACUUGUCUCUCUCACACAUAGGAUGAAAUUAGUCUAAACCUAACCUUGGUAGAGCCGACCAUGUCGGGCAGACCACCCUACAUAAAUCUGAUUAUUUUAUCAUAGUUUAUUCAUCACUGAAGGAAGUAUGCAAAAUUAGGCAUACCAUUUAUCCUCACCUCUCUCGCUGACAAAAGAUUCAUGUUAAGUAUAUUCACCCUACAUAAAUUAUCAAGAGGAAUCACAGAUUUAAGGACCGUGGAAAAGAAUUCCAGAACCAGUUAUAUACAAGCAGGGCCUAUGACAUCCCCACUAAUUCUCAAUCAUAUAAAAUAAUAUAUAAUUAAUUCGUCUGGAAUGUUUAAGGCAUGGUGGUGAAUAUAUCAUGAGCGAUGUUGCUGAGUUUCUUCUGAAGAAUUGGCUAGCUAUUAGUGUCUAAAGGAUCUUUAGUUAUAUGGGGCUUAUGUUUCGGUUGCUUGAACAAUUGCUUUUCAGAGGGCAGAAUAGUAGAGGGGGGUUUUGGGGGUCUGGUGGUAUGGAGUUAUGAUGUUAUCAAUAUGAGAUUUUGGUGAUUUGUACUUGAUAAAGGGACACUUUUCGUGAGGGAUUGCUACAUUUUGCAGAUUAUAACAUUGUUUACAAGUGCUUAAAAUGUGUAAUAAUUUGAUCGAGAGAAAAAAUGACCAAAACAAAUGUUCUCAGCAUUUUUGCUUCAUUUAGAACUUGUAAUUAAUUUUUUUUAUCAGAGAAGUUGUAAUUAAUUGGAUUUGGAAUGAAUUGAUAAUAUCCUUACUAUUUCACCUUUUUUAUAUGUUUGGCGUGUGAGUAUGAUACAGAUUGAACUGGUUUUUAAAGUAGAAAUAAAACGAUAACAAACCAAAACAUUCUGGUUUUCAAAAUUUUGAAUCCAAAUCAAUCGAAUUAGUUUAAUUAUAAUUGAAUGUUUUAUGUGUUAUGAUGAUGAAGGAAGUUGAUGAGGUGACUUGCUUCAUCUUUCAAAAUAUGAGGUUCGUUUGAAGUUCUCUUUGACACAUCUUUACUAUUGUUUUUUAAUAACAAAUGAAAAGUCAAUUUAAAAAACAAAAAUCCAAACCAAUGAAUUUCUUUUAUACAUAUAAGAUAAGCUUACUGCAAAGCUCUUGUUUUUUCAAAAUAAAAUUUUGUUUUUGUUUUAUUAAUUUUGUAUGAAUCAAAUGAAGUUUAAUUUUUUUAAGGGUAAAUUAAACCAACAGUAACUCAACUUUGAUGCAGCUGACAAAAUAGUUGAUUUGGUUUCAAUUCAGUCACUCAACUUUCAAAAAAUAACAAAUCAGUCACUAACGUUACCAAAAAGUGACAAAUCAAUCACCCAUUAACAUUUUCCGUUACAGACCUAACGGGACAGGUGACAUGGCUAGUUAACUUGCCACGUUGACAUGGCAAUGCAUUUAAAAUUGGUCUAAUUAAGAAUUUGGUCAUUGUACAUUAUGAAAACAUAAAAAUUAUUUCAAUUGAGUAUCAAUAUUAAAUCUUGUCCAUUGACCCAAAAAUCAUCAUUUCAACAAAUUGUAUGUAAGAAAUUAGUGAAAAUCAACAAUUCAGUAAUUUAUAUCAAAAUUGAGGACUAGCUUUUCAUUUUUUUGUAAAUUACAUGGAUGACAUUCACAAUUAGACCUAAAUAGUGACAAAUUACAAAUUUAAACCCUAAAUACCUUUGUUCAGAGGAUCCGUAGCCAACAGAAUCAAUAAAACCGAUGGAGAUGAAACUCAUGCAUUUGGCGUGAAGAUGAAACUGGACAGAGUAGAACUCGCAUUGUUCGUCACCGUUGCAGGUGUCACAGUCACACGAGAAUCGCAUCGACAUGGCGCGUCGGCUAGUGAGAGGGAUUAGAUCAAGUCGAUGGGCAAUGAACUUGUCGUUGACGACGGAAGAGUUAACUUCAAUUUUGACGAGGUCGAUGGCUAUGUUGGGAACCUCGGCUAUCAUGACACGAUGGAGGGCAUUGGCCAUGGAGGCGUUGGUGUCAUGGCAGCAUAGUUGUCUUUGAGUUCUCGGAUUUUGACCCUUGGGAAUCGCUAGUAUGAAGCUCCUUCCAUUUUCUCUUCUUCUCCAUUUCUUCUCUUCUUCUUCUUCUUCUUCUUCUUCUACUGCCCAAGGCUCUUAAAUGGGGUUGUUUAAAUGACAGCUAGCCUACCGUUAAAUGUCAUGUCACUUUUCUGUUACAAACGUAACGGAAAAUGGUUAAAAAGAUUGAUUUGUUAUUUUUCAAAAAUUAAGUGAUUGAAUUGGAACUAGAGUGACUGUUUUGUCAAUUGCAUCAAAGUUGAGUGAUUGUUGUUGCAAUUUACCCCUUUUUUUUUAAUAGAGAUAAGCUUUGUGGUGGAAAUUUGUUAGGAAAGGAUGAUUGUAGGAAUGGUCCACAAAAUUAAUUGCAUUCCCUUUUCUUGAUGAAUUCUUAUCUUUGGGUCAACUCUUAGCUUAAAUACACUGCUAAAUUUAUUUUAGGUUGUACAAUAUAAAUGGAGCAAUUGAUGUCAGGAGAUAAGUUGGAAGUACAAUUAAAUUUUUUCAUAAGAGGAGAUGGGAUGAGAAGAUUUGAACCCAACAAUUAUUGGAAUUUAGAUUAUAAAAUUGGCGUGAAAUCAUGAAUUUAGAUUAUAAAAUUCUUUCCAUUUUAAUAAUCAUUUUAGAACUAGUUUGGUUUCCAAUCUAUAUUUUGUGUUGUGUUUUGUUUAUGUCAAAUUUUAAAGUAAAACUUUGAAAGUUAAAAUACAUUCUAAGUCCCUAUACACUUUGUACUUUUAGAAUUUAGUUCUCCUAGUUUUUAUUUUUAUGAAUUUAGUCUUUCUAUUUUUUGGUUUUCAAAAUUCAAGUCCCCAAUUAUUUUCACUGUUAAAAUUCUUCUAUUAAACUCACUAGUGUCACCUUUUGAAAUUACCAAAAAAAAAAUCAUUUUGUAGUCAUGUAAUAAUAAAGAAUAACGUUAAAAAUAAUGAUGUGGAUUUUUAUUUAAAAUACUCAUCCAAACUGAUCAUGAUAAAAUGACUUUUUUUUUUGUUGGAAUAGUGUUUUUAAGAAAAAUUGACGUCAAUAUUUUGAUUGGAAUAGUUUACAAUGUUAAUUAUUUAGACUAACUAAUGACAUUACAAAAAUAAAAUAAUGAAAUUAUGCCAAAAAUUAAGGAAUAUAAAUUAAAUCUCAAGUUUUAACAUAAUAUAGGGGCUAAUACUAAAAUUUGACCAUUAAUUUCCAUGUAAUAUAAAAUAAAAAUAAAAAAGUUGUGUGAAGCAGCCCAAGCUUAUGACAGAAAAAAAAAAACACGGCCCAAAGCUAAGGUUACGUGUUAGAAAGGGAAUGUCAUGAUAGGGGUGAGUAUUCGAUCAAGUCGAGUUAAAUUGAGUCAAAAAAGUUUAAGUUAGUCGAGUUUACGAAUCCUAUUUUAGUAACCGAACUCAAUUUGAAUUUUUUUUCUGAAUCAUAUUGAGUCAAAAAGUUUCGAGUCAAGUUGAGUCGAGCUAAAGAAUCCUAUUAUUUAUACUCAAAACUUAUAUUUACAUGGACCGAUUAUUUAACUAGUAGAUGAAGUACAAGAUUAUUUAACUACAUAAACAAUAUAAUGGUUUUGCCUUUUAACUUAAUGAGUAAAUAUUUAUCAAAACGAUAUAGUUUUGUCUUUUAAUUUAAUAGUUUUGACUUUUAACUUUGGAAAAGAUAAAUUCAGAUUUUCAGAUAACUCGAAUUGUGUAAUUCAUAUUCAAGUUGAAUAUAAAAACUUAAUUUUUUUAUUCGGGUUGAUCCGAAUAACUUGAUUAACUCAAAUAACUCGAACUAUUUAAUUCAAAAUUUAAAAUUUUUAUCAAAAUUUUCAGAUCAAAUCGAAUUUUGCUCACCCCUAGUAUUGGACAUUAUUUUUAUAUACGGGUGUAUAUAUAUGUGUGCGUGUGUGUGUUUGAUGUGAUUUCCUUGUGAGUUCCAUCUAUUUUUAGAAGUUUUUCCACGUAAAAUAUGUGUAUUUAAUAUUUUCAAUUCUUUUAUUAUUCUACUUGCUCGUUGCAAAUACGUUUGAUUCACAACAUUUUAACCUAAACUUAAUUGUAAAUGAUAAGAGAUAUUUUACGAUUAAAUAAAAAAAUUUAAACCACUAAACCAUUACCCUAAUAUGUCAAAACACAUGCAUUUUUUAAUUUCAAAAUUUAUGAAUUCCGAAGUAAAGAGCAUACGAUAUUUAUAUUAAUGUAAGAAAUGUAGGCUUGCUAAGUUUCGCAAAAUCAUAUUACACUUUUAAUUGAAUAUAAUGGUGGGAUGAUUCAAUUAUUAAAAACUAAGUUCGGGCAAAAAUGUAAAAAUAAUCUAAAAUUAAUUGAAUUAUUAUAAUAAAUUUAUAUAACUUAUGGAGUGAACCAAAUCAUGACAUAAUAUCAAAAAUAAUUAAGACAUGUCAUAUUACAAAUAAUAAAAACUCAACUUUAUAAGCAUAUCAAAAUUUAUUAUCAUGGCGUAUAAUAUGUUAUGAAAAAAGAAAAAAGAAAAAAGAAAAAAGAAAAAGAAGAGAGACAAUCGCUUCAUCAUGAGAUAUAAGCCCUUGAAACCAAAAGUUAGUUGAAGCUGUUAGGAUCGACUCAAUUAAGCAACAAGUAACAAAAAAUAGUGGAGUAAAUUGAGAAAUUGAACACACAAAUUUAACGUGGAAAACCCCUCCAAAGAGGAUAAAAACCACGGGCAAAAAUAAUUUUACUAUAAUGACAAAAGAAUGAAGAGUACAAAAGAUGGAGAUAAAAAGCUAAACCCCAAAAAACCCCAAAAACAAAGAACCCUCAAAACGUAAACACAAUGUAACGCCCCAGAAUUUUUAUUUUUGUUCUUGCAAAGGUAUAACACAAUUGUGUAUCUACUUUAGUGGUUAAGUGUUUUGGGUGUAUGAGAGGUCUCAAGUUCAAGCCAAGACUUGGCGAAAUUUUGGUAUUUUUAUGAAUAAGCUCUAUCUUUGGUCAGUAGGCUUUUAAGUAAGAGUCGACAAAUAAUUAAAAGAAUGAGCUUGUUCGUUUGGUGGAUAAGUGGAGUGUUGGUGUGAAGGAGGUUUUGUGUUCAAUUCUCUAUGGUGGCAUGGAGAUAGUAUUUUUGCUCCAAUUUUGGCUAAGAGUUGUGUUUGGGCAAAAUUCUGAGUAGUUGUGUUUUAGUGGGUUAAUAGGGAGUGAUUUUUGGAAAUAAUGGGGGAGAGGUUAUCAGAAAAUAAUCUGAUUGUCUUUUUAUUGCAUAAAAAAAGUAGAGUUUCGGUUUUCUCUCCAAUUACCCAAACUUUUUCUGACGUUUUCUUCUUUUUUUUCCCUCCGCUGUCGAUUCUUUCCCCUAGUUGUUGCCAAAAUUUCCAUUAUUUUUUCCCCUUCCAUUUCUUUCUUUUAUUUUCCAAUUGAUUUGGUUGUUUAUCGUUGGUUGCGUGUGUUCGGUAAGUAACGGUUUUGUCUAUUGUUAAUUGUUCUUAGUUAAUCUCUGAAAGGGGGAUUCCUUUUUGGUGUUUCGGAGUUAAUCAAGGGGCUAGUGGUUAUGAAUCGAUGCUGUGAUUGUGUGAAGUCAUGAUUACUCAAGCGAGGUAAGGGUUUUGUUAGGUUUUUAGUUGAGUUCCUUCCAAAAUUGGUUAAUUAAAAAUGAAUUAAGUGAUUAAUCUGGAGAUUUGUUGGUCGAUUUUUAGGUUAUGGAGGCUUAGGAGUGCUUACGCAUUAGAAAUGAUACCAGGUGUGUACCCGAAAAGCAGAAAAUGAGAUUCGGCGAAAAGCAUAAAUUGCUUGCUAUUUGGACAGCAGCAGUGGGCUAACUUUAAAAAAUCAUCAUAAAUUGUGAAAAUUGAAUUAAAGGAUGAAAAAAGUAUGGAAUUAAAUAUUAUUGAGUCUAGUUUCUCAUAGAGAAAUGGUGUAAGUAAUGGAAUUGUAAAUCGUGAGAUAUAAUAAAUUUUGUGAGACAAGGUCAGAAUGAAUUCAGGUUUCCCUUUUUUGACUUUGGAAAAUCAUUAAAAAUUGUAUAAAAAUGAUUAUGGGUUAAAAUUUAUAUGAUUAAAAUUCUUAAUGAGUAUAUUUUCAAGAGAAACAAACCUUAACAUCAUCUGAAUCUCGUACUAAGAGAUAAUUAAUUUUUAGAGAAGAAGGGUCGAAAUUAUCAGACAGCAGAACAGGGACAAUUUUGAAGAAUUAACUGUACUCAUUGGCUAAACCAAAAAUUCUAAAAAUUUUAAGGUAAGAAGAUAUGUGAGUCUGUUUUUCGGGAAAAUCAAGCGGAUCUUAAUUUUGAAUUCUGUAGCUCUAGUUAUAAAUAAUUUAGUGACAAUGACUCAAGUAGACAACUCUGAAUGAUCAUAUUAGUAAAUAGUGGAAACAUAUAUGAAUAUUUAGCUAGCAUGGGUUACAUUAAAAAUGGAUCACACGGCCAAGGCCAAUUUGGGCCGAGUGGGCCACGCGGGCACAUGGGCGUGUGGGUCCAUUUUUACCAAAAUGUUUCUAAGGCUGCACAGGUUGCCCAAGUCGACUGUGAACCUACUGUAAGGUCGGUAAGUGCUACUUAAACCCCUAAAUGUGUGAAAUUGACUGAAUGAUAUUUGUACUGAGCAUGUUAAUAUCUAAACUGAAUAUAUGUACUGAAAUUGCAUAAUAGCAUAUCAUCCAUGGUAUGUUGCAUUGCAUUGGGUUGAGGGUUGUUAUUUGGAGGAAAUGUACUAAAAGGCUUUAAGCCUAAUUUACUGGAAUCUUAGCUACAAACUACUGUUUUGUGCCGCAAUAUUCAAUACUACUUGAAGUGUAGGAAUGGGUGGGUUGAUUAUAUCCCCACAUGGUGUGUAGAGGCUGGUUGGCAAAUGGAGUUUUAGUAAGCACAAGCAUCGUCAUCUGUCCAUCAUAACUUGGAAGACAACAAAGAUACUCAUAAAAUAGAUCUGCAAACUGAAAAGAGAGAAGUCAUGUGGAGUGAAUAAGAAGAAGAAAGAAAAAAAGGUUGGUGGGAGGAAGAAAAAGGGUCGCGAUAGCCAAUCCGAAGGUUGUCAAUGCCAUUGGGCAAAAUAAAACAUAAUAAACAAACGGCUUGGAGAAAAAAAUUAAGAAAGAAGAAAAAAUUUAGGCAAAAUUUAUAUUAAUGUAAGAAAUGUAGACUUAUUAUGAUAUUACAUUUUUUAGUGUGAUCAUUCAAUUAUUAAAAAUGUAUUUAUAACAAAUUAUGUAAAAUUUUAUAUAAGCAUAUAAUAUGUUAUGCAAAGAGAAUCACUUUUCUUAGUUGAAUUGUUAUAACACAUUAUACAAAAUAUAUUUUAAAUUAAAGCAUAAUGUGAAUACGAUACCAACCAACAAAUUAAAUUCGAUGAUUUAUGGAUAAUUACAUUUAUUACUCAAUUUAAUUUAAUUCAAAGAGCUAUUGAAUACACAUAACAAUUAAUUAUGAUUAAACUUUAAAUUUCACAGAAAAUAAAAAGAAAUAGAUUGUUGAAAAUGAUAAAAUGGAAAGAUAAAGCUACAAACUUCCUCCCCACAAACCUAAGAGCUUUUUAUUCAAAAUGCAGAAAUCAACAAAAUAGUCCUCACAAUCCAACUUAGCAUAGUAAAACAAUUAGGUGGGGAAAUCAAAUAGUAAAUUCCUUUUUCCUUGAAUCAACACCAACCGACUUUGUUGAAAUCUUCACUAUAGCUAAUCACAUUGCCUGAAGAUGUGAUAUGUAAGAAAAUUGGCCAUUGUUGAGUAACGACAGGUUGUGAUGCACUUUCCAAUAAAAGAAAACCAAACACUUCGCCAAUAAGGAUUUAUGUAAAGAACAACAAAAAUUGUCAAGACCACAACUAUAUAAGAAACCAGGAAGCUCACACAAAAAUCAUAUGUGUCUAGCAAACUGUCCUCUCCUUCAUCAUCUAACGAAUUUGAUCUAGUUGAUGGUGCAUCUGGUUUGGAGCAACUUUUAUGCAAAAUAGUUCCACAAAGAAAAGGGUUUCCCUCGUAACUACUUUCAAUAAAGGUCCCAAAUUGAGCUUUUGGUUCAGGAAUACUACCUGACAAGUUGUUGUGUGCCACACUAAAAACUUCCAAAGAGUUCAACUCUACCAACUGAUUGGGGAUUUCACCACUCAAGUUGUUGUAAGAAAGGUCCAAACUCUCAAUUUGAUGAAGUUUUGAGAAUGAUGAAGGUAUAACUCCGAUCAACUUAUUGUGUGACAAGUUUAAAGAAUAGAUUUCACUUAAGUUCCCUAAUUCUGGUGGGAUAUGACCAGUUAAGUUGUUGCAAGAUAAAUCAAUCCCGGUCAUAUAUGCAAGGAUGUUGCCCUCGUACGAAUACAACCCACUCUUUGUUGUGAACUCUAUUACUUCUUCUAAAUUCUAUUACUUCUUCUAAGUAGCUGUCAGGGUAGUAAGGAUUUAUAUCCCUUUCCAAUUUUCUCAUCGCAAUGGAUGUUGAUUCAUCCUUUUCUGUAAAUGGAAGAUAGAACCCAGUUGCUAGACUCUCUUUCUCUUUCAUUGGAAGAGAUAAAUUUCCCAAACAAGAAGGUAUAGGACCAGAAAACAUAUUUUGAGAAAGAUCUAUGAUGCUUAAAGAAUACAACUUGCAUAACUGAAUUGGAACUUUGCCAUGAAAAUGAUUAUCUUUCAAGAGAAGAACACUCAAAGAAGAAAGUGUGUCAAUCCAUUUUGGCAUGCUACCUGUCAAAUUUUUUUCUCUAAGAUCUAAAGUCACUAGUGAAGAGCUAUUAUAAAAAGCAAGUGAUAGUGGACCUCUCAGUCUAUUCCCGUGGAGGUGGACAUGCUUUAUGUUUGGUGGAUUAAAACAUGACGGUAUAGAGCCAGAUAAAUUAUUUUGAGAAAGAUCCAAAAACUCCAACCAAUUCAAGUUGCAAAAUUCCAUUGGAAUAGAACCCUCGAAACCAUUGUUGGACAAAGCCAAUCUCAAUAAAAAUGAUGCAUUCCCUAUCCAUCUUGGGAGCUUUCCAUGCAACUGGUUGUUACUGAGAUCAAUAUCGCUUAGUGAAUUUGGAAACUCAAAAGUAGACACAUCAACAUUUGUCACCUCUCCUGAAAAUUUAUUUCCAUCCAAAUAUAAAUUCUGCAGCCCAUUUGCUUUGAGAAUCGCAGGAACUACAUUUCCACUGAAGUUGUUAUUUGAUAGUCUCAAAAUGGUCAGUGAGCCUUUCGUGAUCAACUCUUCUGGUACUUUUCCAUACAAUUGAUUGUUUGAUAGAUCUAAAAUUGAUAAAUCCUUCAUGCCACUUAAACAAAGUGGGAUAUUACCUUCAAAAGCAUUCUUGGAUAAGAAUAACCGACUCAAAUGUGGAAAAGUUGAACAUAUACUGGUCGGAAUUUGACCUUGUAUUUUGUUUUCAGAGAUGUCAAUUGAAGAUACAUUAGAAAUAAGAGCUGACGAAAAUGAGAGAGGACCUGUAAAAGAAUUGCCCUUCAAGAUGAGAUCUUCUAACUUUGUGUUGUUUUCUAACAACCAAGUUGGGACCGUUCCACUGAAAUUGUUAUGAGAAAGAUCCACAUAUCUCAAGUCAUAUUGGUAGUAAAGGAAGGUAGGAAGCUUACGACUGAGCUGUUGAGAUGUUAUGCACUUUGACAAACUGAUGACUUCCAAUUGGAACUUUGGGAUUGAGGUAUAAAAGGAAGGUUCCGUUACCAUCUUGUUUUCAUUACUCAAGAGGGCUUUGAUAUUUGAAAGGUUUGCAAAUGGUGCGAAUGACAACGGAAUUUGAAAAUGGUUUCUUGAAAUAUCUAACACACGAAGAGCUGUCAAGUUACUAAAACAAUGAGGAAGCAUCCCCUCCAGUGCAUUCCCACUCACAUCCAAUACUUCAAGAUUCCUUAGAUCACACCAUCCUGAAAAAUUGAAAAAAUUGGUGGAAGAAAUUCUAAUUAAAUUUGGUCUUAUUUAAGAGAAUAUGAGAUAUUACACAAAGCUCAUACAAAAUUCAAUUUGAGCCAUAAAUUUAUUUACCUUGAUUAGGUAGGGGACCAAUAAGUCAACAAUCAUAUAAAGAUAAUGUUUUAAGAGAAACAAGUACUCCAAUGCUUUGCAAAAUAUUGGUGUUGAGAGUAGAAUAGUCAAGAUAUAUUUCCUCCACAUUUCUCGACACAUUUGAUUCUAAGCAAUGUCUAGAGAUAUUAGAUAACGAUAUUGUAAAUAGAAAAUUAUAAUUGAUCAUGAGAAAGAAGUUCAUAUUGACGAGAAAUGCCGAGGACAGCAAUCGCCAUCCCAUGUCAAAAAAAUCAUUUGAGAUAAAUAAUGUUUGAUUUUCUCAGUCUUUUAUUUUUUGUGAAUGAAAAGAAAUAUAAUUUACUUGAAGUUUUUUUAAUUAUUCGAAAAUGCCAUUUAUUUAUUUUAGGCCAAAAAAUUCCAUUUAUUUAACUGUAAUAUAUAUUUUUAUGUUUUAUAUUAUUAAAACCAUAUGAAAUUAAAAUGAUAGUUAUAUGACAUAUUUUUCCAUAAAUAUGAGUAUUUUUUAUUUAUAAUAUUAUUUUUUUAUUUUUAUAAUUAUUUUUUAUCUCAUAAAAAUUUAAUAAAUUAUUUUGAAAUUAUAUUUAUACAAACAAAAUAAUUAUGAACUCUAAUAUUUUAAAAUUAUGCAAAAUUUAAAAUAUUUUACUUUCAAACCGAAGACCAUAGGAUUUAUAAAAUGUUUCACCGAACCCAUAAGCUGAAUUUUUCCAUGUAUGAUAUAAAACAUAAAGACAAGGAUGAGCAACACAAAGACAGAAAAUUAUUAUUUGGUAGUUUGUUGAUUUACUUUAAGGAUUUAGCAGUUUCAAUCAUGUUCCUGUUAUGCUUUGAUUUUAUUUAGGUUCAUCCAUGUAAAACAAAGAAACAAAAACAUUAAUUAGUUGAAAAAUAAUUAAUUGUGUUAUAACAUAAUCCAAACCUUGUAUUAACAAAUAUUCUGUUUUUUAACCUUUUUCAACGAUGAAGUGGGGAGCACCGAUUCAGGGGCCAAGCAACAACUUUGUAUUGGAGGAUCGAUAUAAAAUUAUUUUUUUUGGAGGGACUAAAGUUAAAAUUAUUUGUGUUAAAAUUGUUGAAAUUGAAUUUUUAAUGUUUAAAGUGACUCAAAAUGCAAUUUUUAUGCAUAUAAUUAAAAAGCUACAGAGGAUUAUAUUGAAUAAUUAAAUUUUAAAAGGACUAAAAAGGGUAUUAUACCCUUGAUUAAAAUAUGUCAUAGGUCCUUGUACUUUUCAAAAAUUUGUAAUUUAGUCGAUAUACUUUUAUUUCUAAGGAUUUAGGCCCUCUACAUUUUCAAAUUUUAGAAUUUAAGUUCAAUUGUUAACAUUAGUUUUUUUUCCAAUGUUUUGAAAUAAAGAAAAUAUUCAAUUGGUAGCAAUGUAACUAAAAAAAUAGCAUUAUAAUGAACCUAAAUUUAACAAAAUAAUCUUAAUAGUGUCAACAAUUAAACUUAAAUUUUAAAAUCUAAAAAGUAGAGGGAUUAAAUUCGUAAAAAUAAAAAUAUAGAGACUAAUUUACAAAGAGUAUAAGGAUUUAUGUUAUAUUUUAACCUAUACCCGUUAGCCUAGGGGGGCCAAGACCUCUGUCUACCCCUUUGGCUUUUCCUCUACACCAAUUGAACAUUAGUUUAAUUGACAUUGUUGAUAUUGCAACAACUCUUUUUCUUUAUUUUCUUCAUCUUAUGAAAAAUGUUAAUUUUUAGUUUUGGACAUUUUUAAUAUGCUUAAAUUUGAGAUUUAAUUAUUAUCCUUUAUUUCUAAUUUAAAUUAAGCUUUAUAUUUUUAUAAUUUUACUAGUUAGUUCAAAUAGUUAAUUCAUUAACUUUUCAAUUAAAAUAUUAUGUAGUUAUAUAUUAUUUAAAAGUGGAUUUUUAAAUAGAUUAAAUUCUUAAAAAUAAAAGUUGAAGGAAAAAAAAUAAAAUUUAAACAAAAACGAAAGUUUAGUCAAAUGAUACCUUUAUGGAUCAUAAAAUCUAUCAAUUCAUUUGCCCUCAUAUUCAAAUGCAUCCAAAUCUGGAAAAAAAAGGGUAACAUAUAAACCUCAUUAUAUUAUCUUAAAACAUUAUUAAUGUUUUUGUUAAUUGAGUCAAGAUUUUGGGAAAAGAAAAUGUUUUUACCUUUUGCAUCUAUUGGUCCUUUCAAUUGAUUGCUUAUGGUCAAAGUUUUCAAAUUCAAAAGCUUGUUAAGAGAUGCAAAGACACUAUUAUUGAAGAGAUUGGAAUUUAAAUUAAGCUCUUUUAAGUGCGUCAAUUCCGAUUUUCUACCACCAUCUGCAAAAGAUUUACAUAAGUUCAUCACUGAAAAAAAUUAGCAUAAAAUUUAAUUAUAUAUAAAAACUUAGAUAACUCAUCAAAUAUAAAUACAUACCUUUGGAGGAUUGAAGGCUUUCAAUUUGAUUCUCGCUUAGAUCAAGUUUCUUCAAGUUUAUCAAAUUACUCAAUCCUAUAUAUUUUCACGUCCAAUUCAAAUAAUUAUGUUAAUAAUUUAAUUUUUACCGAAUAUUUGAAUGAGUUUCAUAAAAUAAAAACAAAAAAUUGGUUUGUUAGGCAAUUUUUUUAGGUGUUGUAGAAAUUUUAAGUUCCUCCAAGUUUAUUAUGCUUAAUUGUUUUUCAUCUAUAGUAGGAAGAAGAAUAGUUUCUAAUUAAUAUUAUAGGCUUUGAAUAUUUUAUAAGUUCAUCCCUUUGAAAAUUUAAUUUAUUCAAUAUAUAAAAAUCAUACUUGUACCUUUGUUUGAGAUGCUUUCAAUUCUGUUCCCACUUAAAUCCAAGUAGUUCAAGUCUGUCAAAUUAUUCAAUUCUGAAAUUCAAUCCUAAAUAUUGAUUAGUUAUAUAUAUUCAUGAUAUGAUAAAAUCAAAUAACAUAUUGCAAGUUUGCAACAACUUUUCCUUCAACAUAAAUUGAUUUUAAAGUACAAAAGAAACAAGUAAAAUCAAUCUACCUUGAAUAUGAAGCAGCCUUCCUUCCAACUGAUUACUACUCAAUCUUAAAGUCUUCAAGGAUGAAAGAUUUCUCAUAUCGAAUAGAAUGCUAUUCUUCCAAGAAUUCCCACUUAAAUUAAGAGUUUCCAAUUUAGUGAGUCUUGAAAGCCACUGAAAACCUGAUUUAUAUACUAUAUAAUUAGUUACUACUAAACAUAAUAAAUAAUAAUACUCUAAUUUUACAAUAAAAAUUUACUAAAAUCUGUCAUUGCCUGUUGGAAUAAUAGUCUAUCAGAAAAGUCAUGCACAAAUACUUAUACCUUGGUUUGAGAUGCUUUCAAUGUUGUUGUAACUUAAAUCCAAGUACUUCAAGUUUGUCAAAUUAUUCCAUUCUGAUGAAAUUCAAUCCCAAUGUUGAUCAGUUAUGUUUUCAUGAUAAGAUAAAAGCAAAUGAAAUAUUGCUAUAGCUUUUUCUUAAACCAAAUUGAUUUUAAAGUAAAAGGAAGCAUGUAAAAUAAGUCUACCUUGAAUAUGAAAUAAUAUAUAAAUACUAUAUUUAUACCUUUGUUUGAGAUGCUUUCAAUUUUGUUCCCACUUAAAUCCAAGGACUUCAAGUUUGUCAAAUUAUUCAAUUCUAAAAUUCAAUCCCAAAUGUUGAUCAGUUAUAUUUUCAGGACAAGAUAAAAGCAAAUGACAUAUUGCAAUAACUUUUCCUUAAACCAAAUUGAUUUUAAAGUAAAAAAGAAACAGGUAAAACCAAUCUACCUUGAGUAUGAAUCAACUUUCCUUCCAAAAGAUUGUAUCUCAAACUUAAAGUCUUCAAGGAUGAAAGAUUUCUCAUAUAGACCAUAUUGCUAUUCUUCAAAGAAUUCCCACUUAAAUAAAGAGUUUCCAAUUUAGUGAGCCUUGAAAGCCACUGAAAACCUGAUUUAUAUACCAUAUAAUAAGUUACUGCAAAACAUAAAUAAAUAAUAAUACUCCAUUUUUUAGUUAAUUUGAGUAAGUUCUUGUUAGUCUUUUUUUCAUCUCAACCAUAUGAAAAAUUAUUGAAGCAAAAACUAAGUUACAGGGGAUAAAAGAAUGGAAAAUCACUGUCAAACGUCACAAUACAAAUAAAAACUAACAAUAGACCAAACUUAAUUUACCUCUUGGAUGACUUGAUCCUUCGAACCGGUUGUGUGAUAAAUCUAAAUAUCGGAGAGACGAAAGCUCACUCAAAGAUAAUAGAAUGCUAUCAUUCAAGUGAUUGUAACUUAAGUAAAGGAUCUCUAAAUUACUUAAUGUGGGUGAUAGCUUUCCAAAACCUGUAGGAGUGUUCUUUUAAUUAUAUACAAGUAAUUAAUGACUUUUCUUCAGUAAAAUAAAAUAAAUUAUAAGUAAUUGCAAACUAACAAUGAAUAGAGAAAUAGAAUAAUAAAAUAUGUAAUUAAGGGAAAAUUAAAGGCACGACCUUCAUUUUCUAGGUUACCACCUAUGGCAUUCUCUGACAAAUAAAGACUCUUCAAUUUCUCAAAAGGAAGAAACAUAGAGGCAUUGAGAUACCAAUAAUCCAUGUUGUAUUCCCAUUUUGUAGAAUUAAGGGAGAGUUGUAUGACUCUCCUAGUGAUGGAGUUGCACUUAACUCUUUCCCAUUUACAGCAAUCUGAACCCUUCAGAUCAACCCAACUUUUCAAUGGGUUACCAUAAUUGAAGAAAGGUUUGAGAUGCAAGAGAGCGAUUCUCUCAUGCUCCAAACAAGCAUCAGUAGUACACCACCUACAUCCUUCUAACACCAACAACAGUACUGCCAUCCUAAUAAACCAUAACCAUUUCCACUCCAUCAUCAUCAUCUUUCUGUUUUCCCUUCUCUCUCAGCUAUAUGUUACUUUUUUAACUUCUAUAUGUAUAUAAUCUGCAGAAGCCUAAGCAGGACCUAUGCAUCCCACUAAUUCACUGUAGUAUUAAAAUAACAUAUAAUUAAUUAGUUCCUCAAAAAUUGAAUGAAUCUAGACUUGUGCUGCUCUAACUUAUACGUUAGGAAAUAAAUGUUGACACAAUUUUUUGUUUUAUUUAGAAGUUGUAGUUAACUAUAUUUGCUUGGAAUGAAACUGAAUUCAAAUCAAUCAAAUUAAUUAUAAUAAAAAAUAAAAUAUCAAAAAACUGUUCAAAAUAUGAGUUAUGUAGAAGCCCUGUUCGACAUAUUUUAACUUUUAUUCUUUAUAUAAAAAUGAGAGUUACAAUAAAUAGUAAAAAGAAAAUCUAAUCAAAUGCACUUUUCCAUAACAAAAUUAAUUGCAUUCCUUGUGGAAAAUGAACUCUUGACUUUGCCGACCAUCCUCGACUGAAAUAGGCUGCUAAUUUUAAUUUAGACUGUAGAAAAAAUUUUAACCCAAUUAAUGUCAUUUGAAAUUAAAAUUACUUUAUAAACCUUUUGUUAGCCCUUAAAUUAAUAAACCUUUGUAAAAAUAGUUAUUGUAGCUAAUUGAGUUUUAACUCAAUCGGUAUUGGUAUUGUUGUCAGUAAAAGAAGACGUAAGUUUAAGUGUGCAGAAACGUGUGUUUUCUCCUAUUUAAGGAUUAGGGUGGAUUAUGAAUAAUUCUUUGAAUUGUAUUAACUUAGAAGCUUUGAGAUACUCACAAUUGAAUUAAACAUUCAAUAUAUAUAUUUAUCUUAUUUUUUUUUCUAUUUCCGAUAAAUAAGAAAAGAUCAUUCUUUACGCCACCAUACGAUUUUAGUAUCACAAUCAAAUGAGACUUUUAAAAGUCUUAACACUAUACAAGUAGUUAGUCGACAAAACUUGCACUAAUUUACUCUUUACGCCGAAAUUAUUUACAAAGUGCAAACAACAUUACUUUCACACUAAUUUUUUCCUUCUAUUUAUGUGGGAUAAAUAUCAAAAUUAUAUAUGAAUUUUAAUUUAAUGUGUAAUAUUAUAUAUAAAUUUUGAUUUUGUGUAAUUUUAAAAUGAAAUUUUGAUUUGAUUUAAUUUUCACAAAUCAUUAACAACAUCAUCGAAUUAGUACUAUAUUACAUUGAUAUAUUGCAUGCACAAACAGGUAUACUAAACCAAUAUGAAAAUAAAUAUAUGUAUUCAUUUAUUUAAAUGUGUACAAUUGAAUCAAAAUAAAAGUUUCAUGUAUACAUAUGGAUCACAAUUCAAGUUUCAUACAUAUAAUUGUACCAAAUCAAAGUUCAUAUAUCAAAUUGCACAUUAAGCCAAAAUUUAUGUAUAAAUUUAAUAUUUAUCCCAUUUAUGGGAGAUUAGCUUUCCAAUGGUAUUGUUUUAUUUACAUUAAUCCAAAUAAUUGGAAAUGAUGAAUUAGUUUAACGAAGAUUGUAAUUCUAUUAAUGUUUCUUCUCGAAUUUUUGGUUGCUCUUAUUAGCAUGUUUUAUUAAUUGAUAGAUUUAAAUUCUUGGAAUAUAUUCUAAUUAAUUAGAUAUUUCCUUCCUUCCAAAAGCCUUUCAAAAUAGGUUUAGUUCGACCAAGAUACUCUUGUAGAAAAUUUUAGUUUUGUGGGAAAAAGAAAACUAGAUUUAUUUUUUACUCUAAUUGGUUUUAUAUGCAAGGUAUAUAAACUUUUGUGUCGCUGCAAUUUUUUUCCAACAUAUGUAUGUGAUUUGUGGGGUUUCAAUUUUGAAUUUUUUUUUACAAUUUAAUUAAAUUGUGAAAGUAUUUGAAAGUAUUUGAGUUGAUACAAUGUUUAGAACUACCCCAACACCCACCUAACCCUUAAAUAGGAGGAUAAACACGCUUCAGCACACUCGAACUCACAUCCUCCUACACCGAUGAUAAUACUAAUGCCAACAGAGUUAAGACUCAACCAGCCUUGAAUUUUGAAUUUUACUUCUUACACAUUUUGAAUUUUGAAAUUUUAGUUUUGACCCAAACAGUAGCAGUUAAAUCAAUUUGAUUAAAUUUAAUUACUAGUCCUAUAUUAUGCGUACGAUUAUUGAUUAGUCUAUACUCUCAAAUUGGGCAAUUCUAAGUACCUAUACUUUCCGAAUUUUGAAAUUUCAGUCUUGAUGCAAAUGACAAUUAUUAAUCCAUUAAUUUGAUUUUUAGUGAGUAAUAUGUGAAAAUAACAAACUGGUAUAACAUUACACAUAUGAUAAUAUGUUUAUUCCACCACAUUUGAAAAUAGCCGAAUUUAACAAAUAUUGUUAGUGAGGAUUGGAAAUUAGAGUCUAGCCCCCUACAAUAAUUUAGGUUAUGGAAAUAAUCUUGCAAAUAAUGCUUGAGACAUCAUUAUACAUCAAUUUAUAGUUUUAAUUCUUAUACUUACUCAAUUGGAAUAAAGAUUUAGUUUUUUAUUUUCUUUUAAUACAUUGUCUAGAAUCUUUAUUCCAAUUGAGUAAGUAUAAGAAUUAAAACUAUAAAUUGAUGUAUAAUGAUGUCUCAAGCAUUAAAAAUAACUAACUUCAUUAAAAAAUUCAUUAGUUGGCUCUCUAAGACUUAAAAAUUAAAAUUAUGUGGUUAUUAAAAAAGAAUUAUUUUUAUUAAAUUAUUAUUUAAAAUAAAUUUAUCUCAUCAUAAUGAUAUGAAUUUUUUUUCUUUAAAAAAUCCACAUUAACCGACUAAUAGAAUUGUAUAAAGCUGCCACCAAUCUCUUGGCAUGAUGGCAAAAGAUUCAGAGGCAAGCCAGAAAGUUUUUUGAGAGGAGUGAAUAAAGUUAUAUCUUUUUAUUAUAGUAAAAAUGAAAUUUUAUUAUUUUAAUAAUUUAUAUUUUUAUAAUUUUUAAAAGAUUAAAUAAAAUUUUUUUUUAUUUUUGAGGGGAUAAAGUAUAAGUUUAUCAUAUACUAAUUUAAAAAUUUUAAAAUUAUAAAAAGACUAAAGAUGAAAUUUUUCAUUUUAGGGAGAUGGGGCCCUGCCAGGUCCCUUGACUUCGCCUUGAUAAAAGUAUUAUGUUGCAAGUAUAAAGUUUGAGUUUAAUCUCGAACAAUCUCAUUUCUUAUCCCUAAUUAUAAAAUAAUAAAAUAAAUAGAGCAAUUGAUGUGAGGAGGCAAGUGUAAUAGGUCAAUUUUGACCUGGGCCAGAUUUCAAAACAAAACCCAAAUUAAAUAAUAAAAGAGUCCAAAAUAAUUAAAACAAUCCAUCCAUUUUACAAACAAACCCAAAUUAGCAGCCCAAAUACAAAUUAAAACUCAAUAACUCAAAACUAACCCUAGCCCAAUUAGCUCAACACUUAAACACAACAAAAAAACCCCUAGCCCCCUAAGCCUCCAACGCCGCAUGACCACCUGUGCCGCACGCCGCCGCCGCUCAAGGCUUGCCUAUCACCGACCAUCCACGCGUCUAACACUUGCAAAACCAAGGCAACAUGCAACAACAAAGGCCAAAUAGAGGAAACAACAAGGAAACAGACAAAAAAGGAAGAAACAAACAGUUUUGAUUUGGCUACAAAAGCCCGAAUCUCACCCUUGUAAUUUUUUCAAGAACAUUAGAAAAUAAAAAAACAAAAACAACACUUUCAAGGUGAAUUUCUACUUUUAUUUCUGUUUUAAAUACCUAUUUGAUUCUAUAUUCAUAUUUUUAUUUGAUUUUAUAUAUAUAAUAAAAUAAUAAAAUAAAAAAAGGAAGAAAGGGCUCACCGGAGACGCCCCGUGACCGCGCCGUCGGAGGGCUCUUCUCCAUUGUUGCCAUCGAAUCCGAGAGAGGGUCGGGAGUACUCCUCUUUUGUUUUUUUUGGGUCGAGAGGGCUGGGCUUCCAAGGGAGCUGUGAAACGGGGGCUAAAAACGACCUUUUGCGCAACGCCGGCCACCGGCCACAGGCCACAGCGGCGCUGCGGCGGCAACCCUGGCCUGCCAAGGGGUGGGCUGAGAGAGAGACCAAGAGAGACUGAGAGAGUUCUCUAUUUUUUUAGAAAAAUAAAAGUUGAACUGUUUUUUUCUUUUUCUUUUUGCUAUUUAUAUAGGGUAUAAAACUGCGUCGUUUUGGACUUAAGCAUCAGUGGCCAAAAUGACGCUGUUUUGCAUCAGACCCGAAAGCCAACCCGAAUGCAGUCAGGAUCCUAGCGCAUUUUAGCUUUGAGGAGCUAUUUGCAUAUUCAACCCUUCCGCUUUUGCAAUAUAGUGCAAUUUGGUCCUCGUUGUUUUUAUAUUUUGGCCGCAUAAUUUUCUGAUUGUUUUACUUUGGUUCGAGCUAAAACGCUACGCAUGGGGGCUGGGAAUAUUUGCCAGUCGGUCCCUCAUUCCUUAAGCACGCUCUAUUUCAGUCCCUAGGCUUUUUUUAUUUAUUUGCAAUUUGAACCCCAAAUUUUGGGUCGAUUUCAGUAUCAUCCUUAGUCCAUUUAAUUUAUUUGUUCAUUAUUAUUUUUUAUUUAAAAAGCUCUUUUAUUAUUAUUUGUUUUAAGUUUUUUAUUUAUCAUUUACUUUAAACUGUUUUACAUACUAUUUAUUUAAAAUUUUUUUAUAUUAUUCAUUUUAAACCAUUAUAUGUACAUUAUCUUUUAAAUUCUUAUAUACAUAUAUAUAUGUCGAAACCGUUUUUUUGAAAACAAAAAUUUUUAGUUUCGACUUAAAAAUAAAAACUGGAGUCGCCACCGAUCCUUGAUUGAGGUGUGACCGGCUCACCUUAAAAACAAUUUUGGUCUACGAGAUUUGAGAAAAUGAGUCCGGGAGUCAGUUACGCACGAGGAAGGAUUAGCACCCUCGUAACACCCAAAAUCGGUACCAAAUUGAUUCUUUAAUGCCUUGGUGUCGAAAAUUUGAAAAGAUUUUAAAAGGAAACUUUUUAUUUCAUGAAUGAAUCAAAAUAAUAAGACAUUCUUAUUUCAAAGAAAUAAAACACCACACCCAGUGAGUUAGGGCACAAUAUUUUUAAAUCUUCAAAAUACCCGAAUAUUACCUUUUGCUUUUGAAAAUUCUUAUUUCGAGAAGUCAAAAUAUCAGGACCAGUAAGUUAGGACCCAACAUUUUUGAACUCCCAAGAAUAAGCUUUUAUUUAAAAUUUACGAAUUUAUUGCAAAACAAAUACUUGGCUUUCUAAAUUCAUCGAAAAAUAAUCACGAUCCAGUCAGUUAGGACACGAUCUUUCUCGAGAAUCAUGAAUGCCAAAUAUUUUGGAAAUUUGUAAAAUAUGAUGAUUUUAAUGCCUUGACGAAGCCAAUAUAUAUUUUCUUUAAAAGCAUGAUAAAAUGUUAAUGCAUAACAUGAAACCAAUACUUUAAUUUAAAUCGUAUGUAUAUAUGUAUUUGCAAAUCGCGAAAAUAAAAUAAAUAUAAAUGUAUGGAUAUGUCAUGAAAAUAUGUGUGCAUUUAAAUAUAUGUAUAUAUGUACAAUAUGUAUAAAACCAUGAAAUAUAUAAAAUAAUAAAGAAAAAUGUGUACGUAUAUGUAACAGAGAAUGCAUGUAUGCUUUAAAUUAUAAGAUAUAGGAAAUAAAUAUGUUACAACAAUGUAUAUCUAUAUAAAAUAUAAAUGUAUAUAAAAGUAAGUAAAAGUUAUGCAAGUAGAAUAAUAAAAAAUAUAUAUAUGUAAGGUGCAUGGGUUUAUAAAAAUUAUUUUUAAGAAAAAAUGUAUGCAUAUAUUAUUGUAGAGAAUAAGCAUAUGUAUAUAUAUAGUAAUGGUAAUAAUAAUAAUGAUAAUAAUAAUAAAAAUGAUAAUAGUAAUAAUAAUAAUAAUAAUAAUAAUAAUAAUAAUAUAUGACAUAAUUAAUAAUAUAAAAAACAACAAAUUAAGGAUUAAAUUGGAAAUAAGCGAAGUUUUGAAACUAAAUUUAAAGAUGGGAAUUAAAUAAGGACCAAAUUAAGAUGCGCGCAACAGUAGGAGGAUCGAAAAGAUAAUUUGCCCAAACCUCCCAAAUGCUGCGCAGCAACAUGGACCAAAUUGAAACAGUAUUAAAACAUAUGGCCUAAUUUAAAAAAAUAAAAAGACGGAUUUAAACACCCCUCAUAAAACAGAGGACCAAAUGUGAAAUUGUCCCCUUUCACAGAAAUGCGCGGAUCCUUCCCCGGGUCGGGUCACCGCACGGGUCGUAGGGCUGAAACGGCGCCGUUUUUGUGCUUACCCUUCGGCCCAAAACAGUGCCGUUUUCGGUAAGCUAUAAAUACAAUGUUUUUUUUUAAAAAACUCAUUGUUCUUUCUAUUUCAAAAAAAAAACAAAAAAAAAAUUUCCUUUUCUCUCAAGCAGGCCCAAAAUCCGGCCAAACUCCGGCGAGUGGCCACUGCGCCGUUCACGGCGGCGGGGAGUAAAAAAUCUCGCCUUUUUUAAACUGUUUUUAGAUCCCGUUCAAUAGUCAAACUGCUUUGGCUCAAAAGGAUGACCCUUGGCCCCUUCUCCUCUCGGAUCCGACGUUCUUGAAGGAGGAGAGCCCUCCGACGGUGAACCCGCAAGGCAAAUCAGGUAAGCCCGUUCCCCUUUUACUUCUUAUUUAUUAUGCGUAAAAAAAACAAACAGAAAGAGCAAACAAGGAAAAAAAAAACCGAAUCUAAGGGAAAAAAAAACCUCCGUUUUGUAUUUUAUUUUUUCAAAUCUUUUUUCUUCGUAUUUUCCUCUCUAUUUUCGUAUGUCUUUACACUCAAGACCCCCCUUUUCAGAUCUCCCCCCACGGCUUUUAAAUAGUCGAAAAUAACAACAAAAUAAGCAACAAAAUCAUAUCUCCCUUCAAUAUUGGUUGCGAUUUUUGCUACUACUCUGCUAUUGCUGCGCCAUAUGCUUCUUUUUCGCAGGUGUGGUGGCUGUUGAGUGCGUGGGAGCGACAAGCGCGAUGUGCGGCGCUUGCGGAGGGGUGGUGCGCAGGGUGAUGCGGCGCUGAAGCAGAAAGGGCUAGGGUUUCUGGACUGGGCUAGGGUUAAUGUAAUUGGGCUAAAUUUUUGGGUUUAGUCUGUAGAUGGGUAAUUGGGUCUGCUAUGUUUUUAUUUUAUAUGGGCCCGGGCAGAAAAAUUGGGUAUUACAAUAUAUAUUAAAAAAAACUGUUGUAUGUUUCUUAUUUAUUUAUUUUAAACUGUUAUUAUUAUUCAUUUUAAGUUUUUAUAUACUGUUUAUUUGAAGCCUUUUAUUAUUUAUUUUUGAAUUGUUCUUAUAAAUUAUUUAAUUUAAAUUAUUAUUCUUUGAAUUUUUUUUUUUGCAUAUUAUUUUGUUUUGUUUUCUUUGAUUGUUAAUAUUAGUAUAAAAAAUGAUAUACAUUGUGUGACUAUUACCAUCAUGUGUACUAUAAUUAGUUUCUUCGUGUUUUCAUAUUAUUAUCACUCAUUAACAUAUAUAACAUUUUUUCAUAAAUUGUUAUUUUAUGUUCUAUGUUAUCAUUCCAUUUCACUUCAUCACUUUGAAAUUAAGUUGCCUUCAAUUUGUGUUUACCCAUAAUAAACCGUUCUAUUUUGUCACAAAUAAAACAAAUGCACCUCGUUCAAGCAUUGUACUCGCAAUUAUUCAAAAAAGAGAAAAAUUUUAAAAUAAGGCAAUAUUUCGCAUUUUGGAGAUUCGAGAAAUUGUACCCUAACUUACGAGGUUUCAAUUUUCUCAUUGAACCUAAAUAGCAAAAUAUCUUUCUAAUUUUCAAAAUUUACGAAUUCCAAUAAAGUUAAAGGCUAGCUUAUUCUCGAGGGUUUCAAGUGUCGUGUCCUAACUUACGGGAUGUGACAUUUAUUAUCUUGAGACGAGAGGAUCUUUGGCAUUUGUUUAGAUUUAUUCAAGCAAAUUCUUUUAAAUUGAAAUAGCGUUAACAAAAGGGGGAUUGUGUUUUAAAUUCUUUCGAAGUUUUUCAAUUUUUAAUAUUUAGACAUUAAUUAAUCAAUUGGGUACCAAUUUUGGGCGUGACGAGGAUGCUAAUCUUUCCUCGCAUGUAACUGAUUCCCGAAUCCGUUUUCUCAAAUUUCGCAGACCAAAAUCACUGUUUUGAUAAAUUAAAAUAUUUUAUUAAAACAACUAAAUUAUGAGAUGACCUAAUCACACCUCGUAAAAAAAAUAUUGGUGGCGACUCCCGUUUUAAUUUCCGUUUUCAAACCAACACCGACCCUUUUAAAAAAAAUGGUUUCAAUAUUAAGUUAUAAGUGAAUGAAUUAAAAAUAUGUGAAAAGUGUAAAUAAAGACUCUUCAAUCUCAUUUCCUCUAAUGCUCUUUUUUUUUUUAAUCAGAGAAGUUGUAAUUGACUGGAAUGAAAUUAAUAAUCGCCUUAUUAUUUCACUUUUUUUCUUCAUAUGUUUGGCGUCAGUACAGGUUGGACUGAUUUUAAAGUUGAAGUAAAACGAUAUCAAACAAAAACCAUUCUGGUUUUUAAAAUUAUGAGUCCAAAUCAAUCCAAUUAGUUUAACUAGAUUUUAAUGUCUUAUGUGUUAUGAUGAUGAAGCAAGUUGAUCAAGGGACUUGCUUCAUCUUUCAAAAUAUGAGUUGCUUAAGAGCCCUGUUUGACGCUUUUUUUUUUCUUAAAUUACAAACGAAAAGGUAUUUUUUAAAAAAAAAUUAACUUAAUGAAUUUUUUAUAGAUAUAAAUUUCCUGCAAAGUUAUUCUUUUUGAAAAAAUAUUUUUUUAAUUUUUUAUAUACCUUUUAAAUAGUUAAUGAAAAUAAGAGUUUUCAUUUCGAAAUGCAAAAGCCAAAAACAGUUUUUGACUACAAAAGCUGUGUGUUCUUCAUCACUUCUGCAGUGGAAAAACACUUCUGCAGUGUAAAAACACUUUUAACCCAAAACGGGUUUUCACCUAAGUAGAGAAUCCACCCUAAAAUUGUAAAUAGAAAAAGGAAGGACCAAACAUUGUUUCUACCCUGUUUUUGUCUCCUCUUUGAAAAUACUUUCCAAAAAGUUUUAUCAUUUUCUUUUUAUUAAGUUUUCUGUUGGAUCUUAUAGUCAAAUUCCUUUACAUCAUGUACGUUAAUUUGCUUCGCUCUGAUAAAUGUUAGAUAUAGGGUUAUCAGCUAAUUAGGAAAGACUGAUGAUAGUCACCCCUUACAUCCAAAAGCAAAGCUUUUUUCACAUGUGUAUGUAAGGUUGCUAAGCAAAUCUGAUGAGCCUUCACUGAUGUUUUAAGGUUUAAGUUGAUGUUCCUUUUCGGCAAAGAACAUUAUCGAGAUCACAGAAUUUUGAUCGCCUUUUGCUUGUUAUGUUAUUCGUUCUUAAACGAUUGCAUAAUCUUUACUGUGAUUGCAGGAUAUAGAGGAACUUUUGAAUUUCAUCGGUGUAACGAGUUUAGGACCUUGGCAUGUUCUUGCAAAUUUGAAGGAGCUUCUAAGGUCUGUCCAGUCUUCAGAAUAUAUAGAUACCUGAAUUAAUUUUGAUUUUGUAGGAUCAACUAUAAUUAGCUACUUAUUACAGUAUGAAUAGACAACCUGACCUUCUUCACACACGACACAUGUGCGGAUUUUUUUACCAAUCCCAUUUCAUUAAAGAAAAAAAAGAGCUUUAAAAAAGGAUCACACUUUUUUGUUGUUUACAGAAUCAUAAUGUUAAUUAGAGUGGAAUAUUUCAGAUUUCUGAUAAUGAGUAUAUUAUUGAGUAUUGCAGUAAAAAAAUGGGUGUGCAACUUAUUUGAACUUUGAAUGUAUGUUUUGUUGGUGAGAAUAUAAAGUUGAUAAAGAUUUGGUAAAUAGAAUAAAAUACUAUUUUUUAUUAGAAAAAAUAUUUGGUACACUGCCAAUCGAGUUAUAAUUAUCAUGACACAAUAUUAAGGGUAAUUAAAACAUGUCAUAUUACAAAUAAUAAAAUUAUAAUGACUCAAAUCUGCAAACAUGUCAAAAUUUACGUACAAUGAAUUAUUAACAUGUAAAUGUAUAAUAUGGUAUGCAAAAAUAAGAUCAUUGCUUGUUUUUUAAAUUGAAUUGUUAUAACAUAUUGUACAAAAUACAUUGUGAAUUAAGGCAUAAUAUGAACAUGAUAUCAAAAUAUUAAAUUUUUUUAAAAUUCGAUGAUAUGAAUAAUUAUGUAAAAUAUAACAUGAUACAAAAUAACUUGAAAGGAAAAGAGGAAUAAAGAAUUGCAUUGUUUUUGAGGUUUUAAAAUAUUUCAGUUUUAGAUUCAUUUUUCUAGUAUGUUUGGUUUAAUUUUACAUUAGAUUUCCUUUACAGUAUGCACUAGUGAACGCUUAGUAUUCAAUUUAAUUUAAUUCAAAGAGAUAUUGCAUAUACAUAAUAAUGGAUUAUGAUUUUACAUUAAAUUUCAUAGAAGAAAAAAGAAAUAGAUGGUUGAAAAUGAUAAAAUCAUAAGAUAAAAGAGCUUUUAUUUAAAAUUCAAAAAUCAACAAAAUAUUCAUUAUCGCUCAACUUAGCAUAAUUAAACAUUUAGGUGUGAAAAUCAAAUUACAAUUUGAGUAGCUAAACACAUUGCUUGAAAAUGUGAUAAGUAAGAAAAUUGCCCACAUUUGAGUAGCGACAGGUGGUGAUGCAUUUCCCAAUGAGAGAAAACCAAACUCUUCGCCAGUAUGGAUUUAUGUAGAGGACAACAAAAAUUGUCAACAACACAACUACAUAAGAAACCAAAAAGCUCACACAAAAAUCAUAAGUACCUAUCAAACCAUCUUCUCCUUUAUCUUCUGAUACAGUUGAUAUCGUUGAUGGUGAAUCGGUUUUGGAACAACUUUUAUGCAAUAUAGCUCCACAAAGAAAAAGAUUUCCCUCAUAACUGUUUUCAAUAAAGGUCCCAAAUUGAGCUUUUGGUUCGGGAAUACUACCUGACAAGUUGUUGUAUGCCACGCUGAAAACCUCCAAAGAGUUCAACUCUACCAACUGGUUGGGGAUUUCACCACUCAAAUUGUUGUAAGAAAGGUCCAAACUCUCAAUUUGAUGAAGUUUUGC
RNAcentral lists this long non-coding RNA (66527 nucleotides) under Gossypium raimondii (Peruvian cotton). Its description in RNAcentral is "long non-coding RNA (GRAI_LNC003398)". The record is from RNAcentral. Lineage: Eukaryota; Viridiplantae; Streptophyta; Magnoliopsida; Malvales; Malvaceae.